Molecule: long non-coding RNA, 64914 nt
Filed under: Eutrema salsugineum
Lineage: Eukaryota; Viridiplantae; Streptophyta; Magnoliopsida; Brassicales; Brassicaceae
Description: long non-coding RNA (ESAL_LNC001938)
Rfam family: Plant small nucleolar RNA R71 (bases 36749-36853)
Source: RNAcentral
AACUUUAGGUCUUUAAUAUACGUCUUGCUCUUCUUAAUACAUUGUUAAUCGUUGUAUCACUGUUUUAGGAUAUGUCGAUUGAAUUAGUGCUCUCUUUCUGUUCUUUUUCGUAGUUUUCAAUUACACUUGGGUAUAUGUCUGAUUUUGGUUCAUGUGUGCUUUUAAAUUAUGAGUGAAGGAAUGGUUAUUCUUCUUUCUUUUUUUUCUGCUCUUGAAGCAACCUUCGUCUCCACAUAAUGAUUUUUUUUGUUUGGCUCUUGAAGCAACCUUCCUCUCUUAUCUAACGAGGUUUAUCUCAACUUUUUGUGUUUUGCGGAUUAAGCUAUGAGUUUCUCUAGGUAGUUGCUGUUGUUUUUUUUUUCUUUAUGGUUCGCUGCUAAUAUAUUGAGUAGUUAAUUAGCAGUUUUUCACCUUUUGUUCGUUGUUUAUUGUAGUUUUUAUGUUCAUUUAGUGAUUGAUGGGAGGUUUGUUCAUGGUUAUGCUCUUCUAGGUUGCUUUCUCUGUUUGGAAUAUGCGUCUGGUUUGUCAAAAACUAAUUAAUCACUCCGAUGAUAAAUGAAUCUACACAUAAUUGUUUCGUUGAGUAUCAUACGAAGUGUUCACUCUAGCUACCAAUGCUAAAUGCUCACAAGAAUGUGAAAAAGAUAGUAAUAUGACACAAGACAAAUGUAAAUAACGCUAAUUAAUCAAACAAAUAAAAUAAACUUAAACAUCUUAACAUCAUGAUCAAAUCUAAAACAUCCUUACUUCUGAUAUGAUCGUGACCAGCUCAGAGGAGGAGGAACCAGAGGUAGCUGGCAGGAUCACUCGUUCCAGAGCUAGAGAGAUGGCUAAGGAGGCUCACGCACUCAUUGCCACAGAGGACAGCGAUCACCAGGAGGCUGGAGCUCACAUCUUCAACAUCUCUAUCUUGAAGAAUGAAGAACCCAGUAACAAUGACUAGGUAACUUAGGUGAUGAUUCUGUACUCUUUUCCUUGGUGAGGAUUUUGGAAGGCAAGGAGGUUCUUCUCCAAGGUUUUUAACGAGGCAGAAAUCAUUGCUACGUCGAGUUACUUAGAAGUUGUUACUAAUGGGUAAUAAUGUGCAAAGUCACAAUGACUUGUGCACUUAGUAUCUUGGCGCACCACUUAGGAAUUUAGGGACGCCUCGCUGUUUUAUUUUUUUAAAUCAAACUUCUUGUUGUUUUUAUUUCAGACUUCAUGUAGUUUGUUUCUUAGGGCUGCGAUUUCUCUCUAAGUCUAUUUAAGAGAGAAAAUCGCCUAUGUCAUAUUCAGUGAAGAAUUUUGAUCAAACUUUUAACGUGUUCUUCUCUCUUUUUGAUUUCUGAGAACUAAAAACUCUGAAAUUCGAAUCUCUUAAAAACUAAUCUGUUUACAAGAGAUUCUUCUAUCUUAUCAUCCCACCAUCAUCACCAUCGAUCUGCCGAGCCACCAUCAUCUCCAUCGAUCCGCCACACCACCAUCGCACAUCCACGAUUCGAUCUGCCGAGUCUCCACCAUCAUCCCUCAUCGUCGCGAGCCAUCCUCGUAUCACUACCACUAUCCUUUUCGCUUCAUCGUUUCAGUCUAUCCACCAUAUCGCCGCAUCCAUUGUUCUUUGCUUCAGAGUAGAUCACCUUGGAUCGUAUCACGUGGUAUCAGAGCCAACUCUGAACCAAAGGCUGAGCGAAACUCUAACCCUAAUCUCUGUGCUUUGAAUUUUCGUCUCUGUGAUAUUAGGGUUAGCGAGUUUUGUGACUGUGUGCAUCGAUUUGAUUCCUUUUGUUUCAUAUCAUCGCAUCGUUCCCUCUUGUUUUGUGUUUAGGAUCGAUCGCUGUUAGGAUUCCUGUUAGAUCGUAUUCGUCUCAAGUUUAUUUCGAGUCUGAUUGUUUUUCGAGUCUGCUCAUUCAUUGUUUUCGUUCGGAUCGAUACGAGUCUGCGUGUAGUCGUGUUCUUAGGGUUUGUUAAGAGUCUGCGCGACUUCGUUAGGUUUGUUAGGGUUUCGUGAUCUCGUAACUCGUUUGUUAGUGUGUUAGGGAUUCGUUAGUCUUCGAUUUUUGUUGUUAGGCCUCGUUUUUCAUCGUUUUUUUUUCGUGUAGGCUUGUUAGGAAAUCUUUUUUUGUGAUUUCUGUUAAGUUUAGUAAAAAAAAAAAAAAAAAAAAAAAAAAAAAAAAAAUUUCGUUAAAUUUCAUUAGUUUCGUUAAGUUUGUUUUUAGAUUUCGUGGGGAUCUUUUAAUUUUUUUUUAUGAUGCGUUUAGUUUUGCUGUUUUUGUGAUUCCUUCUAGAACAAGUUACUGCGAGUUUUUUUAAAAUUUUCAGGUACCAUGGAGCUUUCGGCUGAGGCGAUGGAAGCUCUGAACCGAGCAAUGUCUCAACAAAUUAAAGAAGCAAAUCAGGCCAUAGCAACUCAGCUCACACAACAAAUCGAACAACUCAAUGACAAGUUCGAGACGAAGAUGACUGAUCUGCUCAAAGACCUCAGCGCAAGUGGAGAAGAGUCGUCUCAAACUCCAACUCCUUCGGAAGCAAUGCGCUUAGCAAAGGGUAAAGGGCACAUAGGAUCUUCCCGAAAACUUCCACGCCACCCAACACCUUUCGAAGCCAGGACUAAAGCUAAGUCCAGUCGAAGCCAGAUUGGGGGCAGAGAGACUACGUUUAAUCCGAGGAGGAAUCUUACUGGUGCAGAACGAGAUGGCCCAAGGGUAGAUCGUCAGCACCGCCGAGAGGAAUAUAUUGCUGGGCAUCGAGUUACCCUGGAAUCAGACCCAGAAUACUAUGAGGAGGACGAAGCUUCUGAUCAUAGCAGAGAAACUGUGAGACGAGAUCGAGGCCGAGGACAUGGUCGAGAUUAUGAUCCUCUACGACAGCAGCUGCGUCAUAUCAAAAUCCAGUAUCCUCCUUUCCAUGGAACUAAUGAUCCCGAAGCUUAUUUAGAUUGGGAAAGGAAGAUGGAGUCUAAUUUUCUGGUCCAAGGAACUUACGAGCUCAACAAGGUGAAGAUUGCAGUCUCGGAAUUUCAUGGGUAUGCGCUUCUAUGGUGGGAGCAGUUGGGAGUCACCAGAAAUCGCUUGAGGGAACUUCCGAUUACUACUUGGGAGCAGCUCGUUAUACAGAUGAGGAAGCGGUUCGUUCCGGCCCAUCAUCAGCGCGAGAUACUCAACAAGCUUAGGCGCCUUGUCCAAGGUACGAAGUCUGUUCGAGAUUAUUAUCAAGAAUUGGAAACUUUGCUCAUUCGUGCAGAUUUACGAGAAGACGAAGAGAUGGUAAUGUCGAGAUUUCUUGGAGGACUUAACCGAGAAAUUCAAGACAAGGUGGAACUUCAGGAUUUCGCAGAUAUACAAGAGAUGGUGCAUAAGGCUGAAUUGGUGGAAUCUCAAGUCAAGAGGCAAAAUUUCAAGUCCACAUUCACGCCUAGUGUGCCUAAGCCUAAGGAGAUCAGCAAGCCAGCUUACUCCAGAGACAUCAAACCGCCAUCUACUGGAGUUAAAGAAGAAACUAAAGCUGAGUUCAAGCCUCGAGGUGGCACUUCUAUCAGCAAUGUGAGGUGUUUCAAAUGUCAAGGAAUGGGACAUUACUCUCGAGAUUGCCCAAACAAGAAGGUUUUCUUGUUACAUGAGGGAGGAGAGAUAGUUCCUCAAGAGGAUUCAGAGGCCGAAUAUGAAUUAGAGGAAGAGGAAGAAGCUGCUGCUGUGGGCGAGAUGCUGGUUGCCAGAAGGACUUUGAGUGUUCAGAGUCAACCUGAAGAGACUUGUCAGCGAGAGAACCUGUUCUAUACGAGAUGCUUCAUUCAUGGAAAAGUUUGUAGCCUGAUCAUAGAUGGAGGAAGUUGUACUAAUGCUGCAAGCGAAGAGAUGGUUAAGAAGCUCCAGCUCAAGACUAUUCCUCAUCCAAGGCCGUAUAAGCUUCAGUGGUUGAAUGACAGUGGAGCCUUGACCGUAUCUCAGCAAGUGAUGGUUUCUCUAUCCAUUGGGAAGUAUGAAGAUGAGAUUCUAUGUGACGUCAUUCCCAUGGGUUCGAGUCAUGUGUUGCUAGGCAGACCGUGGCAAUCAGAUCGUAGGGUGAUACACGACGGUUACACCAACAAGCACUCAUUCGAGUUCAAAGGUCGCAAAAUUACCCUCCUACCUCUCACGCCUACCGAGAUUUAUCAAGAUCAAGUUCAAAUGAAGCUCAAGGAGAAGGAGAAAGUCGCCAACAGCCUCUACAUAAACCACAGUGAAUUUUCUAAACUCUUUGAUCCUGAAAUGACUACUUUUAUGUUUGUGUACAAGGAAUCCCUUGUUAGUACUAACCCUUCACAGGAGCUUCCUAGUGCUAUGUUUGAGAUUUUGCAGGAAUACAAGGACGUUUUUCCAGUAGAAAUUCCACCAGGGCUACCUCCAAUUCGCGGGAUUGAGCAUCAGAUUGACUUGGUACCAGGAUCAGCCUUACCUAACAGGCCAGCAUACCGAACCAACCCUGUAGAGACUAAGGAGCUUCAAAAGCAAGUGGAGGAGCUGAUGAGCAAAGGCCAUAUCCGAGAAAGCUUGAGUCCCUGUGCGGUUCCAGUUCUGUUGGUGCCAAAGAAGGAUGGUUCCUGGAGGAUGUGUGUAGACUGCCGAGCUAUCAACAACAUCACUGUGAAGUAUCGGCAUCCGAUCCCAAGGCUAGAUGAUAUGUUGGAUGAGCUCUGUGGGUCGACAAUCUUCUCUAAGAUCGACUUGAAGAGUGGAUAUCAUCAGAUCAGAAUGAAGGAAGGGGAUGAGUGGAAGACGGCAUUCAAGACAAAGCAGGGACUCUACGAGUGGCUAGUUAUGCCGUUUGGCCUCACCAAUGCUCCCAGCACCUUCAUGAGACUAAUGAACCAUGCCCUGAGACCAUUCAUUAGCGUGUUCGUAGUGGUUUAUUUUGACGAUAUCCUCAUCUACAGUAAAGGUUUGGAAGAACAUCUAGAUCACAUCAGAUCGGUUCUUGAUGUUCUUCGCUCUCAAUCUCUCUUUGCUAAUUUAUCUAAAUGUUCAUUCUGCACUAACGAGAUUGUUUUCUUAGGCUUUGUAGUAAGUGCAGGAGGAGUUAAAGUAGAUGAAGAGAAGAUAAAAGCUAUCAAGGAGUGGCCAACCCCCAAGAAUAUUGGAGAAGUCCGAAGUUUCCAUGGCUUAGCAGGAUUCUACAGGCGUUUUGUUCGUGAUUUCAGCACCAUAGCCGCGCCUUUAACCGAAGUAAUCAAGAAAGACGUGGGGUUCAAGUGGGGAGAGGCGCAAGAACAGGCUUUUACAGCCCUUAAAGAGAAGCUUAUCAAUUCGCCCUUACUAGUACUUCCUGAUUUUACUAAGACUUUUGAGAUUGAAUGCGAUGCUUCUGGUGUAGGUAUUGGAGCAGUUCUUAUGCAGGAUAAGAAGCCCGUCGCUUACUUCAGCGAAAAGUUAGGAGGAUCAACGCUGAAUUAUCCCACGUAUGAUAAGGAGUUAUACGCAUUGGUUCGAGCUCUCCAGACGUGGCAGCAUUACCUAUGGCCUAAGGAAUUCGUCAUUCAUACCGAUCACGAGUCCUUAAAGCACCUCAAGGGUCAGCAGAAGCUUAACAAAAGACAUGGGCGAUGGAUGGAGUUCAUUGAGACAUUCCCCUACAUUGUUAAGUACAAAAAAGGUAAAGAUAAUGUGGUCUCAGACGCAUUAUCCCGGAGGUACACUCUUGUUUCGACUUUAACAUCAAAGUUGAUUGGAUUUGAGCAUAUUAUAGAUCUUUAUGAAUCUGAUACUGACUUUUCUGAGAGCUAUGCCAAAUGUCAUAAGUUUGCCUGUGAGAAAUUUUAUAGACAGGAUGGAUACUUGUUCUUCAGUAACCGAUUGUGCAUACCACGAGGAUCCAUUCGAGAGUUAUUGGUACGAGAAGCUCAUGGAGGUGGAUUAGCUGGACAUUUUGGUGUUACAAAGACACUUCUUGGACUACAAGAGCACUUCUACUGGCCGAACAUGAAGAAGGACGUUGAGAAAAUCUGCUCUAGAUGUGUCGUAUGUAAGAUGGCUAAGAGUAAAGUUCAACCUCACGGUUUGUAUACUCCUUUGCCUAUUCCUUCUCAACCUUGGACUAAUAUCUCUAUGGAUUUUGUAGUUGGCUUACCUCGCACCAGAAAUGGUAGAGAUUCUAUUUUUGUAGUUGUUGACAGGUUUAGCAAGAUGGCUCACUUCAUCGCUAGCCACAAGACAGAUGAUGCUGUGAAUGUAGCUAACUUGUUUUUCAGGGAAGUAGUACGACUGCAUGGAAUGCCACAGGUUAUCGUUUCAGAUCGAGACACGAAGUUCUUAGGACACUUUUGGCGAACGCUUUGGGCUAAGCUGGGAACAAAGCUCUCAUUCUCAACUACGUGUCAUCCUCAGACCGAUGGACAGACCGAGGUGGUGAAUAGAACGUUGUCCACACUUCUAAGGACUUUGGUGAAAAGUAACCUCAAGACAUGGGAAGAGUGCCUGCCUCAUGUCGAGUUUGCUUACAAUCACGCUAAGCAUUCUGCUACUCUCUUUUCUCCUUUUGAAAUUGUAUAUGGGUUUAAUCCACAAUCACCUCUAGACUUGAUCCCUUUGCCUUUAAGUGGAAAAUUCAGUUUGAAUGGCAAGGAGAAAGCUGAACAGGUCAGAAGAAUUCAUGCUAAGGCUAAGGAGAAUAUCGAGAAAAAGACAAAGCAGUAUGAGAAGCAUGCCAACAAAGGACGAAAGGAACUGAUUUUCGAAGAAGGAGAUCUGGUGUGGAUCCAUCUGAGGAAGGAGCGAUUUCCAGCUGAGCGAAAGAACAAGCUAAUGCCCAGAGUUGAUGGACCAUUCACAGUCAUCAAAAGAAUCAACAACAACGCCUAUCAGAUUGAUCUUCAAGGUAAGUAUGAUGUUUCUGAUACGUUCAAUGUUUCUGACUUGCUUCCUUUUGUUGCAGAUUCAGGUUUGAGGGCAAAUCCUUUUCAAGAGGGAGAGGAUGAUAUGAUCGUGACCAGCUCAGAGGAGGAGGAACCAGAGGUAGCUGGCAGGAUCACUCGUUCCAGAGCUAGAGAGAUGGCUAAGGAGGCUCACGCACUCAUUGCCACAGAGGACAGCGAUCACCAGGAGGCUGGAGCUCACAUCUUCAACAUCUCUAUCUUGAAGAAUGAAGAACCCAGUAACAAUGACUAGGUAACUUAGGUGAUGAUUCUGUACUCUUUUCCUUGGUGAGAAUUUUGGAAGGCAAGGAGGUUCUUCUCCAAGGUUUUUAACGAGGCAGAAAUCAUUGCUACGUCGAGUUACUUAGAAGUUGUUACUAAUGGGUAAUAAUGUGCAAAGUCACAAUGACUUGUGCACUUAGUAUUUUGGCGCACCACUUAGGAAUUUAGGGACGCCUCGCUGUUUUAUUUUUUUUAAAUCAAACUUCUUGUUGUUUUUAUUUCAGACUUCAUGUAGUUUGUUUCUUAGGGCUGCGAUUUCUCUCUAAGUCUAUUUAAGAGAGAAAAUCGCCUAUAUCAUAUUCAGUGAAGAAUUUUGAUCAAACUUUUAACGUGUUCUUCUCUCUUUUUGAUUUCUGAGAACUAAAAACUCUGAAAUUCGAAUCUCUUAAAAACUAAUCUGUUUACAAGAGAUUCUUCUAUCUUAUCAUCCCACCAUCAUCACCAUCGAUCCGCCGAGCCACCAUCAUCUCCAUCGAUCCGCCACACCACCAUCGCACAUCCACGAUUCGAUCUGCCGAGUCUCCACCAUCAUCCCUCAUCGUCGCGAGCCAUCCUCGUAUCACUACCACUAUCCUUUUCGCUUCAUCGUUUCAGUCUAUCCACCAUAUCGCCGCAUCCAUUGUUCUUUGCUUCAGAGUAGAUCACCUUGGAUCGUAUCAACUUCUAUCUAACAAAUGAAACAUUACCAUAUGCCUUAUGUUGUUAGCUUGUGUUAUGACCUCCGAUCGGACUCUGAUCCUUAACGUUAUAUACUUAUAUAUAUGGUUCUGUCCGACUUAUAAGCACUACAUAUAUGAUUCCCAGGAAUAACUCAUGGAAUCAGGGUUUCAGUUGUGCCAAAACAAAUAAAGCUCCACACAAAUUUCUAUAAAGACCAGGAACACACAUGUUCAGUGAAAGAGAACAGAAAAUGCCAUAUAUAAGAUCAUUUACGUAAAAAUACUGAUCACGCCAUCGUUGGAACAGAGCACUAGAGAUAAAUAUUGCACAUCCAAAACCAUUAGCUGAUAGUAUCUUGGACAUUCAGACUACAUGACCACGAGAUAACAACAUAAGAAACAAUUAGAAAACAAAACUAAGAGUAGGGAAUAGGAAUAAAAACAGAGUUUGUUCCCUUGGAAGAAGAAGUAUGAUUGAAGAGUAUAUUAAACAACACUCGAGAUUUGUUAAAAGCUUGCUUUUUAAGAUGAAACUAUAGUACCAAAAAAAAAAAAAAAGGAGAAACGGAGUGAAGAAAAUCUGGAAGCAAAGCAGGAAAAUUGUGGUUCUGAUCCAAUUUUCUGAAAACAACUCUUCAGGUCCUCCUCUUGAUUCUAAUGAGUAUUUGACAUUAUUGACUCACUACAAGAGGCAAGAAAAACCUGUCAUAAUAAGGUUCAUGUAAAUGUACUUAACAGAGAAGAAAACAAUGAGUGGUGGAACCAAAGAAGCAUAGUGUUUUAGUCCAUGAAGAUGGAGAAGAACAGAGCUCCAGUGUGAUGGUUAUUAGAGGAAGAAGAUAUUGGUGAAAGAUUGAAACAGAGAAAAUUUGCAACCAUGGGCAUAAAUUGAAACUGGAGGCACAUAUUACCAAAGUGGAGAAGAGUUUGGCAAAAUUAAUUUCUAAAUUUGGGGAGUUAUAACAUGGCUUUAAAAGUACGAUGAAUACCAAAUAAAAAAUAGACAAUACAAUUAAACGAUAAAGAAGAAUACAAAAAAUGAUAAAAAACAAAAAAACAAUCGAGUUUGUCUUAGUUGAUUUGGCUUAUGAGUUUUACUACACUUUUUCAUUGGUUUCAUACACUUAUUUUAUGGUUUUUUGAGUAUUUAAUUUUGGAUGAUGUUUUAAUUAAUUUUAUUUCAAUUAGCUAUGUCUCAAGUGGUUAUUUUAAUUCUCUUUCGUUUCUAACAUAAAAUUUUGUUUUAUGUUUAUCAAACUCUUCCACCCGCGCAAGGCGCGGACUAAACACCUAGUUUGAUAUUUAAAAUGACACAAUCGUUUUACCAAAAUUUUGUACGUAUAAGAAAUGAUAAAAAAGCAUUUACUUGUAAAAUUUUAAAAUUAUAUACUAGAAAAAGAAACCCGCGUGUACACGCAGGUGAUCAUCUAAUAGUUAUAAAAAAUAGCAUAUAUGUAUGUAUUUCCCACUCGUAGACAAUUAUUUACCGAUAUUGCGUAGUGAGAAAAAUAAUACUUAUACUAUUGUCUAUGUCUGGUGUUGAAGAGAUUUUCCAAUAAUCUAUUACAAAAAAUAAAUCUAUAUACAUGUUCAUUUGAGUUAAAACUAUGAAAACUAAUCAAGAAUUCAACAAAACCAGGAUUCUUUCUAGUAAUGAUGAAACUUAUUUCAAAUAAAAAGAGUAUAAAUACAUGUAAUCUCAGCUNNNNNNNNNNNNNNNNNNNNNNNNNNNNNNNNNNNNNNNNNNNNNNNNNNNNNNNNNNNNNNNNNNNNNNNNNNNNNNNNNNNNNNNNNNNNNNNNNNNNNNNNNNNNNNNNNNNNNNNNNNNNNNNNNNNNNNNNNNNNNNNNNNNNNNNNNNNNNNNNNNNNNNNNNNNNNNNNNNNNNNNNNNNNNNNNNNNNNNNNNNNNNNNNNNNNNNNNNNNNNNNNNNNNNNNNNNNNNNNNNNNNNNNNNNNNNNNNNNNNNNNNNNNNNNNNNNNNNNNNNNNNNNNNNNNNNNNNNNNNNNNNNNNACGACACCCAAAUCCAAGAAUGGUCUUUUGAUUGCUUUAUCUGUAUUGUUGUUGUUGCUGCUGCUUAAGUCAACAACCAACAACAUCCACUCCAAUUCUCAACCAUCCACCUGUGUUGGAUUUAGAAGAGGAACCAACCAACCACUUAUAUCCAUGCUGCUCCUGGUGUCUUCCACAGAGAUGUGAAACCACAUAACCUUUUGGUAAGUUGAUCUUAUUGUGGGUUUGUCUUGGGUAACCAUUACUAGAUUGUAAUCCAUUUCUCUGGUGCGUUCUGUAGGUUGAUCCCCUCACUCAUCAGUGUAAGCUGUGUGAUUUUGGAAGUGCAAAAGUAUUGGUAAGGGUUUACCUUAUUUAUAUUUUUUUAUUUAUUUUUCCACUGCUUAUGUGUUCGGUCUCAUGAAAUCAAUUGCACCUUAUUUGUUUUCAUGAUCUUUGCAACAUGUGACUAUUGACUUUAGGUGAAAGGUGAACCAAAUAUAUCAUAUAUCUGCUCUCGGUAUUACCGAGCUCUAGAACUCAUCUUUGGGGCCACAGAGUAUACAUCCUCCAUAGAUAUAUUGUCAGCUGGUUUUGUUUUGGCAUAGCUCCUUCUUGGUCAGGUUAGUGUAAACUAAUUUAUCCAUUAAGUAUCUUGAGAACUAAAGCAUCUCUCCAAUAUCUUUGACAAUCAUUUGAUAUUUCUUUAUCUUCAGCCGAUAUUCCCCGGAGAAAAUUCUGUGGACCAGCUAGUGGAGAUCAUCAAGGUGAAGUCUCAUAUUGAUUAGAGUUUACCUUGGUGUCAUUAUAGAAAAAAAUCCUAUAAUCUAAUAGAUUGAUCAUUUUGAUUAAAAUCUCGUUCUGUUUAGGUUCUUGGUACUCCAACUCGAGAAGAAAUCCGAUGCAUGAAUCCAAACUACACAGACUUUAGAUUCCCACAAAUCAAAGCUCACCCGUGGCAUAAGGUAAUUUAUAUGCAUGUUACGUUCUAACUUUUCUGAUCAUUCAGAGAAAAAAAGAAAAGCUGAAACAAUACAUAUACUACUUUAUGACCUCCAGGUUUUCCAGAAGCUGAUGCCUCCAGAAGCCAUUGACCUCGCAUCUCGGCUUCUUCAAUAUUCACCGAGCAUACGUUGCACUGCAGUCAGUAUCUCUACACGACCAAGUAUUCUUAGUUGUUAGAGUUGUUCUCUCUGUUUGGACCUGUACUGUUCAAUGAUGCUGAGGCUUUUUAACUGACAUGUAUGUUAUGUUUCCAUGUCUAAAAGCUCGAAGCAUGUGCUCAUCCAUUUUUCAAUGAACUACAUGAGCCCAAUGCUCGUCUUCCAAACGGCCGACCUCUACCACCGUUGUUCAACUUCAAACAAGAGGUACGUUUGUCCAAUCUCUUUAAAACAAACAUUCUUAAACCAAACCAUAACUGCUGUUAAGUUCAAACAGUUUCUUAAUCUGGUAUCUCUUUCUCUCUGCUUGAAUGUUCAAACAGUUAUCUGGAGCUUCCUCAGAGCUUGUAAACAGGCUAGUACCAGAUCACGUUAGGCGACAGAUGAGUGGAGGCUUUCCAUUUCAAGCUGCUCCGUAGAAACGACUUCGAAACCAAGAUGUUUUGUUCUGGGUAGAAAUCCCAUCAAGCAUUUGCUUGGGCACUAGAAUUUCAAUUAUUUUAGGGGCCAUUUUGUAUAAAUAUGAGUUGGUUAAGAUGGUGCAGUGGUCUAUGAAAAAUGUGUUUAUUUGUCAUUGUAUUUGGCAUAUUUUAUUUUUAAUCAACAUUAUAUCAUAGAAUUAGUUAUUCUUAAACAACUUAAAACAGAACAAAGGAAAUAAAAACUACAUCAUCCUGUUUACAUCUACUAUUCAAAAUGAAGAAAAUAACCUAUAAAUUCUUAGGUCUUUGGGGGUUAUUGGGUGCACGUUUUCUAAUUUGGGUAACAACUGAUAGCAUUUACAAAUUUUUCAAGAAAAGUUAAGUGAAAUCAAUUUUUGAAUUGGGAAAAAACUUUUAAAAAAUCUCAAAAAGAAAGAAAAUAUUUAUAAAAAACAGCAUAUAUGUAUUUCCACUUGUAGACGAUUCUUUACCAAUCUUGCAUGAUGGAAAAAUUACUACUCAUAUUUUUGUGUAUGUUUGGUGUUGAAGAGAUUCUAUUACAAAAGAUAAACUUAUUUUUACGGAAGAAAAUUUAAGAAAAAAAAUCUAUAUAUACAUUGUUCACUCGAGCUAAAACUAUGGAAAUAAUGAAGAAUUCAAUAAAAUCAGGAUUCUUUCUAGUAAUGAUGAAACUUAUUACAAAUAAGAAAGAUUACAAUUACAAGUAAUCCCAGCUUACAAUGAACCUGCUCACUACUUAGCAAAAAAAACUUUUUCCAACAAUGUUUUCUAUUAUAGUUGGAUUUAUUCCCCUAUCUGGUUAACCCCUUUACUUCAUUGUGACUUUGUAUAUUCUUCACUUUUUGGUCAAUAUAUAUGCUUCUUAUACAAUUACAUGUAAUCCCAGUUUCCCACUCCGAAACCAAACUUCCCCACAUCAAGCCAGCAAUCUGAAAUAUAAACCAUCAUAGACAUAAACCUUAGAGCUAAAACUGUUCUCAUACUUAAACCUCUAAUCACCCUUAUCUCAAUAUCAUGGUAUCUCCACGUGUCUUCAUCAUCCUCGUAAUUACCUGAGACGAUAAUGUUGGUGGCUCUCAGUUCAUCUCCUGUGUAAGCCCACCGAGCACAGUUCAUGACGGUAAAAGAACACGUCGCCGAUCUCAACACAAGGGAUUGAACCCACUAAGUAUUUACCCUGGGUUUGAGAUCAGCGACGUGUUCUUUUAUCGUCAUGAACUGUGCUCUCAGACUGGGCUUACACAGCCAGCUACAACGUAGUUCCAAAGGUGAACCGAUACCCCCCCCCCCAUCAUUGUCGUCUCAGGUAAUUUGAGGAUGAUGAAGACGUACGUGGCUUGUUACAUUAGUCCCAGAAAAGAACCAAAUGUGAUGGCACAUUUGGAGCUACGGAAACUACUCAGUUACAGAUGGUGAGCUUCACGUUCAGUUCAUCGGCGACCCAUAGUCCAGGCUUAGCUCCGAUAACAAGGGAACAUCAAAAGAAAAAAAAAACUUGAUGUUCAUUAUCGGACUAAGCCUGGAUUAUGGGUCAGUAGAUGAACUGAACGGGAAGCUUGCCAUCUAUAACUGAGUAGUUUCCUUGUUUCUAUAUUUUUCUUUAUGUCUUUACCGAUAUGGCUCUCCUAUAUGCUUUAUCUUGAGGUAAUUUCUCAAAUAAAUGUUCUUUCUACAUCUCUUUAUCAUAGGAGUCUCAUUGUCUGUACCAAUUGCAUGCUCACAUGCUAAAGUCUUUACUAUAUUUGAGUAUUUACGAAGUUUGUUUGAUUGCUAAAUUAAACCAAUCACAUUCAGGGAAGAAUUAAGGUUGAUUCCAUUUUCUAAACCAGACCCAUUUAUUGUGAUAGAUAAAUACAUAUUUGGUAAGUUACAAACAAAAGAAAUGAAAAUUGCCCAAAGAAAAAAAGGAAAAAGAAAUGAAAUAUCUAUCACACAAAAACUCAAGCGAAAUUUGAUCGUGUGUGAUCGAACUAACAUCUUUUUAUUUUAUCUAUCACGAUAUCUUUUUUGUUCGUCAUUCAUUUUAAUUUCUAGGCUGAGCUCAAAAUUUCUCGAAAAAAUUGUUGUAACAUUAUGGAGGCAGAAGCAACAACUCUUCUUUGGAUCAUGACAUGCUUGGAUGAUCUUGGCUAUGAAGAGGUAAUUUUCGAGAGUGAUUCAAAGAUAUUGGUGAAAGCGGUAGCUGAACCUCGAGAAUGGUCAAGAUUUAUAGUCUAUACCAGAGAAAUCAACAAUACAAGAAAUAUAUUAUUUCGACCAACCAUCACUUUCCAAGCAAGAGAAAAGCCAACCAAUGUGUUGAUCUUACAGCCAAUAAAACCUCUUCAUAUGAAGUACUCUUUUGUUGAGAAGGAGAAACGAAUUUAUAUGAAAUAUGUUUGAGCUCGAAAAAACAAGAAAUAUAUGGCUUUAUGUUAAAAUGAUGAUAACUCUCCUAAAUUAACAACAACAAACCAAAAAAAAUGGGUGAUAAUCCUCGAUUACUAGUUUCGAUUCUAUACUAUUACAUUUCGGUUAUAUUCUCAUUUUCAAUCAACUUUCCAUUAUAUUAUAACAUGUUGACGUCAUAAAGAAAUUAUAACAUGAUAUAUAGUGAAAUACAAACGAUAGAGCUAUUAAAGUGGCAUAAUAAGAUGAUGCAAGAUCUGAUCCGAUACUACAGCAAAUAGAUAUUUGUCACUGGCUGGUCAUACUUUUUACCAUAAUAAUAAAAAGACUGUGCAUACAUUGUGCUUGGGUAUGCCUAGAUAUUCUAAGCAAAUCGGUCAUAAAUACAAAUACGUUCUGAAAAGGUACCUAAGAGAUAUUUAGCAACCUCCUCCACCACCACAACCUCUUCCUCCACCACACCCGCCUCUACCGCCAGACGCUUAUGGUCCAGCAUAUGGUCUAGCUCCAGUAUAUAUUGAUCCAUCUUUCGUCUCAUUUUUUUUAGAUUCUUUUUCACCGGUGCAAACAAAUACGGCCAUGGCUAUUACGGAUAAGGUGGCUGCAACCGCCAAUAUCCCCCAAACUAAACCAAAGCCACUGGUUCUAACGUCGCUCAAUAUGCUUCUCACCAUAUUCUCUUGUGUAUAUUUUGGUUAAGUUUGAGAUUUUGGAUUCGGUUUUGGGUAGGGAUUUAUAUAUGCUUUUUAGAUGUGAGAAAUAAAAAGCAUUAUUUGUAGAUAAUUUUUUGAAUGGACAAUGUUGGCUUACCGCUUACGUCACGUGUGUCGGUGUGUGGUUACGUAAGAGUAAUAUGUAAAAAUCUACAAGUUUCUCUGAUGUCAUAUAAGAAAAUUUCUUGGUUUAUAUGAGGUGGCUACUUUUCAACAUGCUUUAACAUUUGGUUCAAUAUAAGUGAUGCUCUUAUGAUAAGGUCUCUCUGGCUACUUUUCAACGUGCUUUAACAUUUGGUUCAAUAUUGAGGGAUGCUUAAAAGUCUUAUGAUAAGGUCCCUGAACUUUAGUACGUGGAUGGUCGUAAUCCAUACCUUGGAAUAUUUUGCUUACUAAUUCAUUAUUUGUCUUUUGAAAAUUUGAAACAAAUUUAUAUUAGAUUCUGAAAUUACUUGAUAUUUUUAUGUAAGACCUUUGUGGAACCAAUCCAUUUAUUUUGGGAGGUUGAUACAAUUGUUGUAGGAAGUAAAUUUAGAGGAGACAAAUAUUGCAAUGUAAGAAACCGAUUUGAGAUACAGAAAAACGUUUUGAAAGCGGAUUAAGGAAAAACGAGAAGUGGAGGCGAGAUGAUCUCUUUCCUUAAUUCAAAAUAUCUCCCGCAGUGUGGCGGUUGGAUGAGAUAAAGAAUCCCAGGAUACAACCACUAGUAUUUGUAUAAUCGCAGCACCCGAUUAUAGAAUGUGACGAACUGAUAUUCUACGAUAUACUCUCGGACACUUACUCUUGAAAGAAGAAAGGAGACGCGAGAGAUUUGAAGGAAAAGUGUGAAUGAUUUUUCUCUGUAAAUUUUCUGUAGAGAGCGAUCAAAAUUGGAAGAGGAAAAGUCGAUAUAUGUAGCGAAGGAGAGAGGAUCGUCGCACUUAAUCAGCGUGUUAAUGACGAGAUUAAUUUUGUGCUAAUGACGCGAUUUGGGCGUUAAUCUUGGCGUGAUUUUCAGGAGAGACAUUUGACUGCAGUUUAAUGUCGUGAUUCUGUUAAGAAUUUGAACCGAAAACUUUAGCAAUUUGGGCCAGAAAUGUUGACCAAAACGAGGCCCAAAAAGAACAUCUUUUGUGGGCCGAAGGCCCACAUUCACCAAGACCCAAGACCCAAGACCCAAGACCCAAGACCCAAGACCCAAGCACUACAAGAAAGAGGGGCUUUUCCGUCGAAUUAUUUACGACGAUUUGUAGUCGUCGUAAAUUUACGACGACAUUACGUCGUUUUUACGACGAUCAAAAAUUUUGUCGUAAAUUCGACGUAAAAAAUAACCCUUGUAAAAUCGUCGUAAUGUUACGACGAAUAAAGAACGAAUUUUAUUUCGUCGUAAUCUUGUCGUAAUAUUUACAUCGAUAAUACGACGAAUUGUCCUCUAUCUUGUAGUUGACGUAAAAUCAAUGUAAAUGUGAUGUAAAUUUUAUUUCGACGUAAAUUUGAUGUAAAUAUGCAAUGGUAAUAUGUUGGUAACCAAACAAAAAAUUCUAUAUAUACCCUUUCUUCUCUCAUUAUUCCAUCAUCCCAAAAAAACAUAUAAAAACACAAAUUUUUUGAGUCUUUGAAUGUUUAAGUAAAAUUUUUAGUAGUUGAAAUUUCUAUCAAAUUUCAGAAACAAAAAGUCAAAUAUUUGUUUUUGAAAUGUCUAUAUACGAUCUACGAAAGUGGAUGUAUACGCCCAAAAAUAGUGAUGGGUCGUUGACUGAAGACUUCAAAAACGGAUUGGAAAUAUUCAUGUACCAAGCCGGCCUUCUGGAAACUGUAAUUGAAAGCGGCAAAAUGUAUUGUCCUUGUGUGAAAUGCAAAAUAGGAAACAUAUUCUUAUUGACACUGUCUGGCAGCAUUUAUUGAAUAGAGGGUUCAUGCCUCAAUACUUUAUUUGGUAUCAGCAUGGAGAGGGAUAUGGUCAAAGUAGUGGUCAGAUGGCUGCACGGAGUAGUAGUAAUCAUCAAGAACAUGUGGAUUUUGAAGCGUCCAAUGAUUAUCAAAGUAGUCAAGUUCAGGGUGAAGAUCAUGAUAGGAUGCAUGAAAUGAUUACUGAUGCAUUUCAUGAAACACAUGCUGAUACUGUUGAGGAGCCCAAUGCAGAUGCGAAACGCUUUUAUGAUAUGUUAAACGCAGCAAAACAGCCUUUGUACGAGGGAUGUAGGGAAGGUUUAUCAAAAUUAUCAUUGGCAGCUCGGAUGAUGACAAUAAAAACAGAUCACAAUCUAUCUGAAGUUUGCAUGAACGAUUGGGCAGAUCUUAUUAAAGAGUAUUUGCCAGAUGAUAAUUUGGCUGCUGAAACGUAUUAUGAAAUUCAGAAGCUGGUUUUUAGUCUUGGAUUGCCUUCUGAGAUGAUUGAUGUUUGUGUUGAUAAUUGUAUGCUUUUUUGGAGAGAUGAUGAGAAGCUUGAAGAAUGUCGUUUCUGCCAAAAGCCAAGAUAUAGACCGCAAAUUGCUGGGCGUAAGAAGAUUCCUUACCAACGAAUGUGGUAUCUUCCUAUCACUGAUAGGUUAAAAAGACUAUAUCAAUCCGAACGGACAGCUGCGUCGAUGAGAUGGCAUGCGGAACAUUCACAAAAAGAUGGCAAAAUGACUCACCCGUCUGACGGGAAAUCUUGGAAACAUUUUAACACCGUACAUCCAGACUUUGCUAGGUCUAAGCGAAAUGUUUAUCUUGGUCUUUGCACUGACGGGUUUAGUCCAUUUGGUAUGUCUGGUAGGCAAUAUUCAUUAUGGCCUGUGAUUCUUACGCCAUAUAACCUUCCUCCAGAUAUGUGCAUGGAAAGAGAGUUUUUGUUUCUAAGUAUAUUAGUCCCUGGUCCAAAUCACACGAAGCGGGCCCUUGAUGUUUUUUUGCAACCACUCAUACAUGAGUUAAACCAGUUGUGGCAUGUUGGAGUACGAACAUAUGACUGUUCGAGUGGUAAAAAUUUUACGAUGCGAGCGGUGCUUAUGUGGACAAUAAGCGAUUUCCCGGCAUACGAAAUGCUAUCAGGUUGGACAACGCAUGGGAGGUUAUCAUGUCCUUAUUGUCUUCAUAGGACUGAUGCAUUUCAGCUUAAACAUGGUAGGAAAACCUGUUGGUUUGAUUGCCACCGUCGGGUUUUACUACGACGAAUUUACGACGAAUGGGAGUGAUCGUCGUAAAUUCGUCGUAAUAUACCAUCGAAAAUACGACGAAAUGUAAUCCCUAAAUCUUAUAAUCAAUCUUUUAUGGGGUUCAGAGGGGAUUUUGAUGAGGAGAAUGAAAUGGCUUACCAUCUCAUAAGGUAAAACAACUUUCUAAACAAAAAAAAAAAAAUUCAAAAUUUGACAUAUAUGUCUUUAUCAAGUAAUCUUAAGGUGUUAUAUACAUUUACACAAGAUGUAUGGAUUUAUCUUACAUCUUACUAAAUUCUUCAUUAAGUUAUGUAAACAUGCUAGAAAUUUAUACAGACCACAUUUAUCAUGAAUAGACAUGCUUGUAUGUGCUUAUGGAUGUUUCAAUUUUUGAAUUUCAUCAGUUUUGGUAUAAUUCGUCGUAAAUUCGUCGUAAUGUUACGACGAAUUUACGACGAUUUGUGGAUACACAGCCGUCUUAAUUUUUUUGAUUUAUAAGAUUCGUCGUAAAAUCGUCGUAACAUUACGACGAUUUUACGACGAAUAGCACGGAUCAUCGUAAACUCGUCGCAAAGCCCAGAUACAGCCACGUGUGUUUGUCUUACUCGCUUUGUUGUACGGUGGGACCUUUGCGACGAAUUUACGACGGAAUUCGUCGUAAUGUUUACGUCGAAUUUACGACGAAUAUAAAUUCUAUAUAUAGGACCUCACCCCUUCCUCAUUUCGUCGCUUAUCUCUCCUUCCUCUCUCUCUGCUUCCUCCUUGCCACCUCCUCCUUUUGACGCAAAAAAAAAGGUGAAUAAUUUUUUUUAAUUACUUAAAAUUAUAAUAAUUUUAAAUAGUUUAGAAAUUCAAACGGUUUAGGUCGGGAAUUAGUUUAGGCUCGGAAUUUGUUAGAUUUAGGAUCGGAAUUUGUUAGAUUUAGGAUCGUAAUUAAAAAUUAAUUGUAAUUAAUUUGAAAAAUAAUUUUUUUCGGUUUUGCAGACGAUGACUCGACGGAGGACGCAUUACAUCAAUUUCAUGGCGGACGGACAUUCUUCCCGGGCGUCUGCCUCGGGAAACACCGGGACCGAUGUCCCUUCAUCUUCCGGAGCCUCCCAGGUUCCGAAUACCGCGGAGCCGUCUCCACCACCGCCUCCACCACCACCUCCACCGCCGGCUGUCGAACCGGUACCCGCCCCGGCUGCCGAACCGGUACCCGCCCCUCCUCAUCUGUAUGUCCAGUUUACGAUUGAGGAUUUACUAGCCUUACCGGGACGGGGGGCUUUACGACGUCUGGUUCCCGGAAAAGCGGAACCAGGCUCUUAUUGGUAAGUAAACUUUUUUGUUUUUUUAUAGUUUUUAAAUUAACGCUUUAAUUUACUUAAAUAUUAAUGUAAUAAUUUUUUUUUUUGGUUUCAUAGGUUUACUUUGGAUAAUUGUGUCGGGCGGAGCGUUUCCGACACAAUUAAGAGUCAUUUCGUGGAGCACGUCAAUUGGAGCAAGGUGUCGCAAGAGACGUGCGACACCUGGUACAAGUGCUUCGCGGUAAUAUUUUUAAAAUCUUAUUUAUAUCAUUUUAAAUUGUUUUAAAUUUAAUUAAUCUUACUUUUAUAUUGUUUAUCUAAUUUUUUGUUUUCUUUUGCAGCAACGGUGGAACUGGGACAUCGGGAUCAACGAGACGGUCCGCGAAGCUUUCGAGGAAAAGGCGAAGAAACGCCUAGUCAACACCGUUUCCGAUUGGAAGCGGAAAUGGGAGACCGACGGCGACGACGCAAAGCCGAGCUCCAUGUCCACUUGGUGUUGGAACGGGUUGAAGGCGUAUUGGGUGGACCCGCAUGCCCAAACCACCGCUGCUAAGUGUUCGGCCGUCCGAAACCGGGUCGAUCCGGUGACUGGUGAGAAGUUAGUGAACCCGUACACUUCUGGCCAAAUAUCUUUUACGGGAAGACGUCUCAUGAUGGUAAGUAAUUAAAUAUAAAUUAUUUCAUUAUUAUUUUAAUUUUAUUUAUUGCUAGAAUUAAUUAAAUAUUUUUGACUAAUAAUGUUUAUUAAUUGGUAGGCCGAGGAGAACGGAGGAGAACUACCUCCAAUGACGAAGCUCUUCGAGACCACUCACCGGAAGAAGGACGGGAGCUUUGUCGACGCUCGGUCCGAGGAGAUCUACAAUGCCGCUUGCAGCGGAUCGCCGAGCGGGAGACCCAGGCCACACCUGACGGUACUAUCCAAGUACCGUUGACCGUCGCUGAGCAAGACCAGAUUUUCGAAGAGGUAUGAUAUCUAUUUCAAUUUUUUAAAAAUUUAUUAUAUUUAUAAUUACUUAAUAAAUAAUUAACGUUUUUAUUUUCCAUUUGUAGGUUGCUCCGAAGAAGAAGGGCCGAACCUUAGGGAUGGGCUCUAUUAGAGAUUGUCCUGCCGCCACGGCUUCCGGAUUCCGCACGCAGGAUCCGCAGCUUCGCCAGGAGCUUGCUACGGCCAAUGCUGAGAUCACCAGUCUCAGGCAUGAGCAAAUGGCCCAGAAGCAGGAGCUCACCGAGAUACAUGAUCUCUUCGACAUCAUUGCGGAAGCGGUUCCGCAGUUGGCCACCGCAAUCCGAGCGAGGCAACAGCGAGCACGGAGGGUUUUUGAGACCGGUGGUAAUUCCGGUACUGGACCAUCGGACCACCAGACGCAGGGCGGUCAGUCUUCGGCUCCGGUCUCAGCAGCGACGGGCGGUCAGACUUCGGCUCCGGUAGUGCAUACGGGAAACGUCGGCCUAGCAGCGACGGGCGGCCAAGACGGAGAGCCUCCUCGUGACGUCGAUCUCAACCUCGACGAUUACGACAUCAUUGUAUAGAUUAGGUUUUUUUGUAAAAAACAAUUUGUAUUAAUUUUUUUUAUUUAUAAAUUAUUUUUGAAUUUAAAUUUCAAUUUAAAUUCAAAUUUUUUCUAUUUUUAAUUUUUUGAUUAUUUUAAAAAUUCAUUAAUUAAAUAAAAUCGAAUUAAAUAAUUAAUUUAUAAAUCGACGUAAAUUCGUCGUAAAUUUACGUCGAUUUACCGUCGAAUAUUUAACGACGAAUUUACGACGAAUAAGUUUACGUCGGCUUUACGUCGAAACUUUACGACGAUUUAACAUCGACAAUUAAAAAUUUAGUUUCCCUUAAUUGAAAUUGUUCGUCUCCUAAUCGUUGUUAAAUCGAUGUAAUUUUACAUCGAUUUAACGUUGUUUUUAUGAUGGAGUUCUUUCGUUGUACAUCCGUUGGAAAUUUUACGACGCAUUUACGACGAAUUGUUCCCGACGAUUUUACGACAAUUUUCCGGAGUUGGUAAUUUUACGACGAUUUUACGACGAUUUCGGUUUUACGACGAUCGUUUUACGACGAUUUUUAAUUUGUCGUUAAUCCGACGUAAAUGCUCUUUUACGUCGAUUUUACGUCGAUAUCUGCCGACGUAAAAGCCGAUCUUUCUUGUAGUGAAGACCCAAGACCCAAGACCCAAGACCCGAGCCCGGCUCGGCUCGGCGGCGGCGGCGGCGCGCGAGGGGUCCUUGGUUCUCCUUCACACACUUUGAACUAUGUCAUGUGUGUGUCUAUAUUUAUAUGACUAGAAAAUUUUCCAAUCCUCCAAUGUGGGACAAAAUGAUGUUCCUCACAAUUUAAGUUGCCUUGAAGGGCUUUAUUUUUAUUCACACUUGACCAAAUUUUAAAGCCUUUGGGCUUUGUAAUAAUUUGGGUCCAACAAUCCCCCACAUGAAUAGAAAUAACUCUAGACAUACGACCGGACUGACUCGAAGACUGGACUCGACUAGACUAAACUAAACGGACUUUCGAGAGUAUAAACGAAAAUUCCACUGUGUUUGAGAUAGUAGUAUGUUUCAACCUUGAACCACUCAAUGUUAAUAUCUGUCGGGCUUACUCAGCUAGAAGGUGAACAUGAUGUCUUGAACCACCCGAAUUUUGAUGUAAACCGAGACAACAAAUACAACUCAGUUUCAUUUUCUCGUAGAACUAUGUUCUCUAUUGUGUUCAUUUUGGCCUUGAACUUGCCUGGUUAAUCAUGAGUGAAGUUGGAGAAUAUAGCCUUUUGUUUUUCCAUUCUCAUAGAAACGGCCCCAUUUCACACUCACUAGGUGAUUUGCCAGUAGUCUUUGUUUUAAGAAGUGUUGUACUUCACUGAUAUAUCAAAGCUACGGUCUUCUCAUUAACAGCUUUGCUUAUCCUUUGAAAAUAUACAAUGAAAAUUGUAUGUAAGCACUGUCAAUCAUCUUGGGACCUAGGUUAAGACUAUACGUCUUUCAGUGCUUUAGAUUUUGUUUGAUUUAGUUUUCCCUUUUGAACCAUACAUCUUGAGAUCUCCAGUCAUGUAGGUGGGGUUUCCAUCAAACAACCUCUUUAGUCAUAGGCUUUAAACCCAUUCCCUUUGACGAUUUGAGAACUUGAUCACGAGCUAGACCCUUAGUGAAUGGAUCUGCUAGAUUAUCAGCUGAUUUUAUGUAAUCUAGUGAGAUUACUCCGGUUGUGAUCAAGCUUCUAAUGGAUUUAUGUCGCUUUCUUAUGUGACGAGAUUUACCAUUAUAGAGAUUAUUUAGUGCCCGGGCGAUAGCUGAUUGACUAUCACAGUGUACACGUAUUGCCGGGACUGGUUUCUCCCACAUUGGAAUAUCUUCCAAGAAAUUUCGGAGUCAUUCGGCCUCCUCUGCAGCUUUAUCUAAAGCUAUAAAUUCAGACUCCAUGGUUGAUCGGGCCAGUAGAGUUUGUUUGGAAGACUUCCAAGAGACUGCUGCACCAGCAAGGGUAAAGACAUAUCCACUUGUGGAUUUUGAGUUUUUGGUGUCAGAUAUCCAGUUUGCAUCACUGUAUCCUUCCAAAACUGCGGGUUCUCUCCCAUAGUGCAGCCCAUAACUUUUAGUGUAUCGAAUGUAAUUUAAUACUCUAGUUAUGGCUUUCCAGUGUUUGUGUCCUGGAUUAUUUGUAUAGCGACUAAGUACAUUUACCGCGUGUGCUAGAUCAGGUCUAGUACAAUUGGUUAAGUACAUAAGGCUACCAAUUAUCCUUGCAUACUCGACUUGUGACACUGCUUCACCUGAGUUUUUGGUCAAGUGAAGUUGAGAGUCAACAGGAGUUUUUGCAGUUCCAUUUGAAUAGGUUUUAAACCGUUCAAGUAUCUUUUCAGCAUAAUGUGCUUGAGACAAGGUAAUCCCAUCAGAAGUUCUUGUGAUUUGUACCCCAAGAAUGACAUCUGCUAGACCCAUGUCUUUCAUGUCAAACUGUGCACUAAGCAUAUUCUUAGUUUGUUGGAUUAUGUCAUUAUUGCUGCCAAUAAUUAACAUGUCAUCUACAUAUAAACAUAGUAGGAUAUAUCCAUUAGGGGUCGUUUUUAUGUAAAUGCAUUUAUCACAUUCGUUUAUGCUGAAGCCAUCUGACAUCAUCGCAUUGUCAUAUUUUUCAUGCCAUUGUUUUGGUGCUUGUUUAAGUCCAUACAACGACUUCACAAGUCUACAGACUUUGUGUUCUUGUCCCGGGACUACAAAUCCUUCGGGUUGUUUCAUAUAGAUUUCCUCGUCUAAUUCACCGUUUAGAAAGGCUGUUUUGACGUCCAUCUGGUGGAUUUCCAAAUUUCGUAAGGCUGCAAUUCCAAUCAGCAUUCUGAUGGAAGUUAUUCUCAUUACUGGAGAAUAAGUGUCAAAGAAAUCCAGACCUUCUUUUUGUCGGAAUCCUUGCACUACAAGUCUAGCCUUAUAUUUAUCAACUGAGCCAUCGGUCUUCAAUUUCGUUUUGAAGAUCCAUUUACACCCUAGAGCUUUAAACCCUUCAGGUAACUCAGUGAUUUCAUAAGUAUGAUUCCGUCUAAUGGAAUCCAUCUCACUAUUGACUGCUUCCUCCCAAAGAGGUGCAUCGGGAGUGGACAUAGCUUCAGUAAAUGUUCUUGGUUCGUUUUCGGUGAGAAAGACCAUCAAGAACUCAGGACCGAAGGAUUUUUCCUUACGAGCUCUUUUGCUGCGUCUAGGUUCUAUCUCUUCGUCUUCUGAAGCAGGAACCCCAGAUGUGGUUGCCACAUCUUCCAGAGGACGUUUUAGAUUUUGUCUAUCCUUGCACGGGAAAAUGUGUUCAAAAAAUGAAACAUUUCUUGAUUCCAUUAUUGUAUUCACCUGAAUAUCGGGUACAUCUAAUUUGUGAACCAGAAACCGAUAAGCACUACUGUUGCGUGCAUAUCCAAUGAAAAUACAAUCAACAGUUUUUGGUCCUAUGGUGACCUUUUUAGGUGGUGGCACAGCGACCUUUGCUAAGCACCCCCACACUCUCAUGUAUUUGUACGAAGGUACUCUACCUGUCCAUAGUUCAUAUGGCGUUUUGCCAGUUACUUUGUGCGGUAUUUUGUUGAGGAUAUAGUUUGUAGUGAGAAUUGCUUCCCCCCACAGAUUCUGGGGUAGCCCAGAUUCCUGCAACAUUGCAUUCAUCAUCUCUUUAAGAGUUUGAUUUUUGCGUUCCGCAAUUCCAUUAGAUUCUGGUGAGUAGGGAGCGGUGGUCUGAUGUAUAAUGCCUUUUUCUAGACAGAAAACAUUGAAUGGACCAUCAUAUUCGCCUCCUCUAUCACUCCUAACAAUUUUAAUAGUUUUACCGAGUUGAUUUUCAACUUCGAUUUUAUAUUCUUUGAAUUUCUCCAAGACUUCAUCUUUACUUCUUAGUAAAUAGAUGUAACAGUAUCUUGUACAAUCAUCAAUGAAAGUUACAAAAUACUUCUUACCUCCUCUAGAUUUUACUAACUUUAAGUCGCACAAAUCUGUGUGUAUGAGGCCUAGAGGUUCGGUAGUUCGAUCGACAUGAGGAGAUGGAGUUUUUGUGAGUUUUUGUACGCAUGUCUCACAUUUAUUUUUGCUUAUUUUGCAUUUGGGGAUUAAGUUCGAAUUUAUUAAUCUUUGUAUAGAUUUAUAAUUCACAUGUCCUAAUCGUUCAUGCCAUAAAUCAAAAGACUCAACCAAGUAAGAAGAUUCAUUCUUAUUAAUUGACCUGGUAGAAGGUACAUCAUUUUUGAGGACAGUCAUUACACACAUUUUGAUUAAGUCCUCCUUAACAUAACCCUUCCCAAUAAAAACCCCAUGUUUCCUUAAAAUCAGCUGGUUAGAUCCAAUGCGGACGUCGAAUCCGUGCUUGUUGAUCAUGGUUCCAGAGAUCAGGUUUUUCCUCAUUUUUGGCACAUGCUUCACAUUGGUGAGGGUGACUUCUUUUCCCGAAGUCAUCUUUAAGACCACAUUGCCUAUGCCUUCAAUCUUGGAGUAUGACUCAUUUCCCAUCAACAAGUGCGCAUUGUUCUUGCAUUUCUUGUAGGUUGAGAACUGGUCUUUGUCCAUGCAGAUGUGAGUGGUUGCACCAGUGUCAUACCACCACGUUUUUGGGUUUGGCUCAACCAUGUUGACUUCUGUGACCAUUGCACACAGAUCAGCUUGAGUCAAGUUGGCUUGUCCUUUGUUGUCCCUCAGCCUGCUUCGACAUUCAUUGGAGGUGUGGCCCUUCUUGUUGCAAUAGGUGCACUUCCCAACAAAUUUGGUUUUGGGAGUUUCCUUUUUGAAGGAAGUGGAUGAUGAUGGAGCAAACUUGUUUUGCCUUCCUUUGGGAGGAAAUUUCCCGUUGCCUUUGACUUUCCCUUUUCCCUUGUUCUUGAACUCUGCUACAUUUGCAUUGUAGGAGUGAAAUGGUUCAGGGUUGACAGGCGUGGCAGCUUUUACCUCGCGUUUCAAAGACUCAUUUUGCAGCCUGGAAAUCAGAUUUGACAAGGUCAUAGACUUCUGCUUAUGAUCCAGAUAGUUUCUGAAGUCUGCCCAGCUAGGAGGUAGCUUGUCGACGAAGCAAUUCACUAUGAAGGUUUCACAGAUCUUCAUUCCUUCAUCAGCGAUUUCUUGACAAAUCAUCUGAAGUUCAUGGACUUGUUCCAUGAUGGGCCUUGAGUCCACCAUCAUGUACCUCGUAAAUUUGGAGGUUGCAUACCUUCCAGAGGAUACAUUGAAAGUCUUGUACUUCUUAUCCAAAGCUUCCCAGAGAUCCUUGGACGACUUGAUUUCGCAAUAGACAUUGAACAAUUGGUCAACCAAGCGGCUCUGGAUGUAGCCUUUGCAAAGGAAGUCCCCAUGGACCCAUGCUUCAACGCUUGCAACAGCACGCACAUCAGUAUUCCCAGUGGGCAAAGCAGGUUUGUCCUCGGUGAGAUACCUAUCCAAAUGCAGAGUGCACAGGAAAAAGUGCAUCUUUUGCUGCCACUGUUUGAAGUUGGUACCAUCAAACUUAUCCGGUGAGAUACCUGCAGCAAUAGCGCUGGGUAAAUUCGGAAUGUUUGUGGGUAGGGAUCCGAGUGCUGCACCUCCAACCGCUAAGGGUGUUGAUUCAGCGACAUCCUCUUGUCUUCCAUCAACGGAUUUCUCCACAUUUUUCGACAUCUGUUCCAAACGAGACAGGAAAAAAAAUGUCAGAUUCGUUGAAUAGAAUCGAUAGAAUAGCGAUUAAAAUAAGAGUCGCUAAUUUAUGCGUUCUGCGGAAACGCUAUAGAGCGGCCGUAGAAUCGCGUUUGAGUUUUGAACUCGAAAAGACGUUCACGGAUUUAACCGAGACGAUUUACAGACGCGGAAAGGAAGUUAUAAAAACUGUCCUUGUGUGGUCCAAUAGCGUUUCGCGUAACUUGCCAAAGGCCUUCGCGGAAACGGUUUCUUGUUAUAAAAAAAAAUCGUUUUUUCCUUAAAAACGUUUUCUGAAAAUCGUUUGUAUAGCAAUAUAGGAUCCGAUUCAAGCGAUAAGCAGGAUCGGAUUAUUUUGAAUUAAGACUGUAGGAAGUAAAUUUAGAGGAGACAAAUAUUGCAAUGUAAGAAAACGAUUUGAGAUACAGAAAAACGUUUUAUGAAAGCGGAUUAAGGAAAAACGAGAAGUGGAGGCGAGAUGAUCUCUUUCCUUAAUUCAAAAUAUCUCCCGCAGUGUGGCGGUUGGAUGAGAUAUAGAAUCCCAGGAUACAACCACUAGUAUUCGUAUAAUCGCAGCACCCGAUUAUAGAAUGUGACGAACUGAUAUUCUACGAUAUACUCUCGGACACUUACUCUUGAAAGAAGAAAGGAGACGCGAGAGAUUUGAAGGAAAAAUGUGAAUGAUUUUUCUCUGUAAAUUUUCUGUAGAGAGCGAUCAAAAUUGGAAGAGGAAAAGUCGAUAUAUGUAGCAAAGGAGAGAGGAUCGUCGCACUUAAUCAGCGUGUUAAUGACGAGAUUAAUUUUGCGCUAAUGAUGUGAUUUGGGCGUUUAUCUUGGCGUGAUUUUCGGGAGAGACAUUUGACUGCAGUUUAAUGUCGUGAUUCUGUUAAGAAUUUGAACCGAAAACUUUAGCAAUUUGGGCCAGAAAUGUUGACCAAAACGAGGCCCAAAAAGAACAUCUUUUGUGGGCCGAAGACCCACAUUCACCAAGACCCAAGACCCGAGCCCGAGACCGAGCCCGGCUCGGCUCGGCGGCGGCGGCGGCGUGCGAGGGAUCCUUGGUUCUCCUUCACACACUUUGAACUAUGUCAUGUGUGUGUCUAUAUUUAUAUGACUAGAAAAUUUUCCAAUCCUCCAAUGUGGGACAAAAUGAUGUUCCUCACAAUUUAAGUUGCCUUGAAGGGCUUUAUUUUUAUUCACACUUGACCAAAUUUUAAAGCCUUUGGGCUUUGUAAUAAUUUGGGUCCAACAAUUGUUAAAUUAGCAGCAUGUUCUAUAUGUAGUAGAUUGGUUGGUAAAGUAAAUCAGUCAUAGUCAGUGAAGACCUAAGGUAAAUUCAUUUUCUAAAAUCAAAAACAUUUAUUAUGAUAGAUAUUUGGCUAGUGGUAUAUGCUCGUAUUCAUAUAAUAAUUGAAUGAUGUUUGUAUACAUGCCAGUCGUCCUCAUUUCAUUUUCUAAACCAAAACCAUUUAUGAUCAACGAGAUUUUGGUUUGUAUAUGCUGAAUUCCAUAAGCGGAUGCCUCCAGAAGCCAUUGACCUUGCAUCUCGGCUUCUACAAUAUUCACCGAGUCUACGUUGCACUGCGGUCAGUAUCUCUACUAUACACGACCAAGUAUUUGUUGGAAUAAGCUUGAAGAAACUUGAAGUGUAAGUUUCCUAAUCCUAAUCAAAGUGUGUUUUAUAGAAGGUUAGGAUUAGAAAAGAAAAUUUAGGAGUUAUCUAAAUAAGAAAUUUGUUUCUCUAUUGGAAUUAGGAGUUAGCUAUUUUAUUCUCUAUAUAAGAGUUGCCAAAGUUGUGGUAAACCUUAUGAGUUGAAAGAAAUAUUAAGAGAGGUUUUAGUUUUUGAGUGAUUUUUCUAAAGCUAAUAAAAGAAGUUGCUUUUAUUCAUACUUGAUCUAAGUCUCAAUUCUAUAACUGGUAUUGUUGGGGUCGGUUUCAUCCCAAUCGGUUUAAACCAUCUCAAGAACAUUGGAGAGCCGAUCCGACAAGGAGAACCGGUGACCUGUCGAAAAUGGGCCGAGCCCCACAGAAGAAGGCCAAGCUCAAGUGGGCCGAGCCGUGAGGUGAAAAUGGGUGAGCCGCGUAUGAGAGCAGACGGGCCGAGAUGUGUCGUGAGGUAUGGGCUGAGCUGCACUUAACAUGAUUGGACCGAGUCGCGCCUCGGCGAGUUAGGCCAAGUCGCGUCUCAACUCGAAUGGCAAGUGGGCCGAGCCGUAGAGAAGGUUAGAUGGGCCGAGCUGUGAGAAGAAUGGUGAGCAGGCCUAGCAGCGCGAGAGGAGGCAUGGGCCGAAUCGCUUCCCUGUGUGUUGGGUCGAGCCGGUUUUCCAAGAUGGGCCGAACCAAGGCUUUAGAAGACGAAAGCCCACAGAAUUCCUAGGCGAAGUAUUAUGACGGUGGCCACACGAAGCGAUAAGGAAAUAUACCUAAAAUCUCUCCCAAGAUUCUCGAAAGAGGCGUUUUAAGAAAUUAGUAUAAAUAGGAGAUUUCUACGAUUCAUUAUAUAACUUUUGCCACCCUAAGCAAUAAGACCUAAACACUUUAACAGCAAUAAAAAUCCUCUUUUGAUCUUACUGUUCUUGCGAUUACCCUAGAAGUUUCGGAUCCCUUAGUUUUUCUCUUACAAAUUUUUGGUUGUGUGAGUUUUGGCUCACACAAUUUGGCGCCGACUGUGGGGAACAUCGAAACUUUCUUACUCUAAACCGAAAAGACUUUAAGAUCCGAAGAACAUGGCGAGCAAUACCCCCGACGAUAACCACAACAACAGAAACAAUGGUAACGGCGCGGAGAAGGACGCUCUGGCAUCAGGCACAACGACGGCAGCGACCGAAACCCAAGAGGAGAUGCGAAACAUGAUGGCCGCGUUGAUGAGGAAAAUCGACGAGGAGGACAAACGAAACGAGGCGAUUACGGAGAGGCUCGACGCGAUGGCGGCUGAGCGACAACACCCAACCUGGAGAGCUGGAAUUCCCGACCCAAUGGAUGGAAUCCGGAGACGCUUCAACUUUUCAACGCCUGCAGAGGCCUCUGGGAGCGGCGCAAGAAACCCCUUGGUUCGCCCAAUGUUUCGUCCCCUCGGCGAACAGACUCCCGCGGCAACCCGAGUCAACAUGACUGAGCCGCCUCCACUCCGUCGGAACUCAAGGCGACGAGCCGGCGAGGAGGAGAAUGACGCGAUUGACGUGGACGCCCAGCAGAACGAUGGAACCACGAAUCCGCAACAAAAUGGCUCGGCUCGGCGGAUAAGCUAAGAAGAGCUCGCCUCGGCACUAAACGGCGUCCGGACUGACGAAGUCUCCGAUCCGACUCACGGCGACAACCCGACUGAAGAAGAAGAAAAUCUCCAAUGGAUCGAGCAGGUGAAGCGCGAAGACGAGCCGAGGAGAGAAGAGUAGGAGCGACUCCCCCAAUCAAAAGGAAUGACUCACGCGCAAACUCUCGAACUCAAAGAGUUGCGAGCCUCAAUGGCUCGGACAGUAGCUGAAAUACGCGCCAUGAAGUCUCAAGUGCACAACGCAACGAGUGCUGCGCCCGAGAUCGACCGGAUGCUUGAAGAAACUCAGAGAACUCCAUUCACGGCAAGAAUCACGGAGGCAAGGAUUCCCGAGCCCGGAAAAGUGAGAAUCCUGUUCUACGAAGGAACAACCGAUCCGAAAGCACACAUCACAGCGUUUCGGAUAGCAAUGGGACGAGCCUUCACAAAGAACGCUGCCAAACUGACCGAGCGGGAAGUAGAUGCCAGAUACUGCCUGCUCUUCGUGGAGCAUCUUAAGGGAGCCGCACUCGAGUGGUUUUCGAGGCAGGAACGCAACUCCAUCGGCAGCUUUCAACAGCUCUCUGCCUUGUUCCUUAAACAAUACUCGAUGUUUAUGGAUAGAGGAACGUCUGAUGCCGACCUGUGGACACUAUCCCAAGGACCGAACGAACCACUUCGAGAUUACAUGGCAAGAUUCAAGGCAGUCGUAUCCAAAACAGAAGGGAUAAGCGACAAGGCUGCACUCGAAGCUCUGAAACAAUCUUUGUGGUACAAAUCCGAGUUCCGACAGGAGAUGGCACUCAACACACCCCAAACAAUUCAAGACGCUUUGCACCGGUCAUCAGACUUUGUCGUAAACGAGGAGGAGAUGAAAAAUUUGGACGAGCAGUACGAAGCAACGAAAGCAGCAAUCCGAAGCUCAAUUUUGACGGGCCCCUCGAAGAAAGGCGACCCAUCGAACAACACAACAACGCAGAGCUCGGACGAACCUAGAAGCGGAGGUGCCCAUAACUACCAGGUAGGCACCGGACGCGGAAGAGGAGAGCCGCGCAACAACACUUGGGUAAGAAAGUCUGCUAACUACGACGAGAAGGCUUUCUGCGAAUAUCACCAGACCUACAGGCACUCAACGACACAAUGCCGAACGUUAGCAGCAAAACUCGCGGCUAAGAUGGCAGCGGGAGAGCUCCAAAACGCGGUCAACCUCAAAGACCUCGUCCCUAAUGAACCACAAGAAAGAGCCGAGCCGAGCGGCGCGGCUGAACCCGCAAAUCCUCCCCGACAAGGCGAUAACUCCAAGCGUGACAGGAGAGGCGAACCUGAAGAGCGACCCAAGCCGAGGCAAAUGAUCAAUAUGAUCAUGGGAGGAUCUCAAUACUACCAAGAUAUCGUGUCCUCCAUCAAAGCCUAUCAGCGCCGAGCCGAAGCGAAGGAGAAUUGGACAGAACCAACCGACAUCCUAAAUACAGUGAUCUCCUUCGCCGAGGAGGAAACGGCAGGAAUCGAUAGACCCCACAACGAUCCAUUGGUGAUUGAGUUAACAAUCAGGGAUCAUGACGUAGCGAGGGUGCUCAUCGAUAUUGGAAGCUCGGUGAACGUCAUCUUCAGGGACACACUCAGAAGAAUGGGAAUCGACCUCUCCGAGGUGGAAGCAAUCCCCAAACGUCUAACCGGAUUUUCAGGAGAAACGACGAUGACUAUGGGAACGAUCAGGCUCCCUGUGGUAGCUGGCGGAGUCACGAAGAUCGUUGAAUUCUGCGUCACCGAUCACCCAACAAUCUAAAAUGUGAUUAUGGGAACUCCAUGGAUCAACGGAAUGAGGGUGGUCCCCUCCACCUAUCAUCUCUGUCUCAAGUUCCCGACUCCAGCGGGUGUCAAAAUGAUCUGGGGGAAUCAGAAGGAGUCACGAAUGUGCUGCCUAGCAUAGCACAAGCUGAGGAACCCCGUCACCGACGCACGAGCAGACAUAGAUCGCAAAAAGAUGAAGACAGACCGAGAGCCUGCGAACAAGCUCUUGAAACUCUUAUAGCACUUACAGAUCGCGGAGAGCCGCAAAACACGCGCCGAGCCGGUAUGUGAUGCGGUGGACUCGGUGUGCAUAGACGAGGCGCGUCCGGAGUGAUGCGUCAAAAUUGGAGCAAAACUAGAAGAGCCUCUGAGAAGCAAACUCCUUUCCCUCCUCAAGGAGAACAUCAACACUUAUGCCUGGACAGCGGAAGAUAUGCCAGGCAUAAGCAUCGACGUGACCUGUCACGAGCUGAACGUGGACCCGACCUUUUGAUGUGCUCGUGUCAACUACGUGAGGGAACAAGUUUUACCCUUAACAAGACAAAUGAAAGCCGCAAGUGCACAGCGAAUCAGUUGUAGUAUUUAGGGAUCAAAUCCACAGAGAUUUGUGUACCUGGUAUUCUUCUACGGUUUUUAACUUUAUGUCUAGACUAAAUUGGUUUUAAAGGUUAGUUGUUUUUCUUGCGAAUUAAACUAAAACAAAAGAAAGCAAAUAAAUAUAUCCUAAAAAACAGGUAAGAAAAUCGAAUGAAAUGCAAUUAGAAUAGGCAAAUAUCGAAUGAAAGACUAAUAAGGCAAGUAAGAUAUCGCAUGAAAAGUAAAUAAAGCAAGUAAAUAAUGAACUAAGAAAAUUGAAAUGCAGGUCUAAAAAAGCAAGUAAAAAUCGAUGGAAUUGUAAACUAUGGCUAAAAACGCUGAGCUUUUGGGAACUCUAAGGGAUCAUAAUCGGUUUUAACACUAAGGUAGAUAGAUUGGGAUUGACAGAUAACGAUAUAUGGGUUCUAGAGCUAGAGUACGGCGGUAUGACUACGUCACUGUCGUGAUCAUAACCAACAGUUUCUCGCAACCCUGACCAGUAGGUUUCCACUCUGGCCCUGGAAGGGAGAGAACGCAAGAGCUGCACAAGACUCGUCAAUACUCACGAUCUCGCCGCAGGUAGGUUUCCACUCCUACGGAAAAAUCGCCUGUUUCAUUCUAGGGCUGAUACUUAAUGAAAACUUUCGCAACACUAACUAUCUAGAUCAGAUACUAGGUGAUCAAUCAAGCAUACAUGCAAUAAGAACAAGAAUAAACAGAGAACAGGUCGAAAUCCCAGAUCUAUAAACCUAGAUGUCUUAAUCGAUUAUGAGAGCCCCUUUCGGGAACCCUAAGCCCAACUCGGGAUCUACUCAGACAUGGCUGAGUUCGAAAUCAUCAUUGGUUUUAAUAUAAGUAAUGAAAAACAGUAAAGAAAAGAGAUAAAGAAAGCUUCUCUAUUGAAGAACUCGGACUUGAACAAUCUUCUACAAAAAUCUCAUAAAAACGGCUAAAGGAAAAGGGUUUAUGUAAAGUAUGAAGGGUUCUCCUUAAAAACGACCUAAAUGACAUGUAUUUAUAGUCUCCAAUACUCUAUGGUCUCUAGGGUUCCAGAAUUGAGGCUGAGAAUGACUUUGGGCUUCAGAUAAGUGGGCUUUAACUCGGAGAUUGAUUGCCGCAGUCGGGAGUGUUGUGACCGUGGCAAUUGGCUUGUUGGCCGCGGUCGGGAAGCUUCUGACCGCGGCAAAUAGCUUGUUGGCCGCGGUCGGGUGAGUUGUUGACCGACUUCGAAUGGCUCCGGGGCUAAUGAAAUAUCUUGAGAUCCAACCAUUGGAAUGUCUCCAAACCAAGUGAAUUUGAAAGCUGGUUGAUUCUUCUAUAAGUUGUCCAAUUUUGAGGGUGAUCAGACGGUGAGAAGGUCUUCGUCUCUCCAUGAGAGUUCUGACGGUCUGCAUUUAUCCAAAAGAGUCUUUUUGUUCCAUUUUGUGCCUCUUUAUCCCAAAUUACCUGAAAAGUCUUUUAAAAUCUGGAAACAUAGAAAUCCUUUGAAAACCUUUGAAAAUGGAGUAAAAACACCUGUAAAAGAUAUUAAAAUGAUCCAUAAAAAUGGUCAAAAUCCGGUGUUAUCAACUCUUCCAGACUUAGUCUUUUGUUUGUCCUCAAAGAAAAUAAGGCUAAAUCUCGGCGAGAGGUUUGAAAACGCAGGAACUAAACAAAAUCUCAGAGACCAAACUUCUAGACCAAUAUCAAUCAGUAUGCAUCAAUAGGAAUAGCCUAGAAAAUUCUCACUAGCAAUACAGGCAUAACUAGUCCGUUAAUCCGUCAUGCAGAAAUCUAUGCACUAAGAUCUAACUUCCAGUCAACUAGCUCUUAACAUUCAUUAAAAAUCUCGGUGGUUCUCAUCAAAGAAAAUCUAGGCAAGGCGAUCUAGGCUAGGUGUCAAGAAGGAUUAUUUUGGGGGGUAAGGCUUAAAGUGUUUACGGGUUACCUGAAGAUUUGGAGGAUGCAGGAUAUUAUGCAAAACCGCAAGAGAGAGUGAAGCUAUUGGUAUCCACAGUUUUCAGUUGGUGAGAAGAUGGAGAAUAAAAGCGAAAUAAAAUAAAAUAAAAAGAAAAGAAAAUGAUGAUAGAACCGUGAUGGUAGUGAAGUGCUGAUCAAUCACUCAUCCUCCGAAGUGUCGUCUGCGAACUGGUUUCGUCCAUUUUCUGCAAAAUGAAAUGAUUCUUGGAAAAAGAGUUAAUAUGGAUGCUGAUUUUAACACAUUAAGAUUUGUUACACUAAUACUAGCAUAAAGAGAUUAAUUAAAACCAUGAGCAAACAAAAUUGAUAUUGAAUCAGAGAAAUCAAGUAGUUCAUGACUAAAUUCGGAUUUUUGAUGUUCUUAACAUAGAAAUCUUCUAAAAAUCGGUUUUGAUGAGCAAUUUCCAUGUAAAAUUCUAAAGAUUACCCAAUACUAAUCACUAAUCACACAAGACUAAAUCAAAUUCAUCAAUUUUGCUGUUCCAAAUUCGAUUUUUAUUAAGCAUGUAGAAUCCAAAUUUCAAAAAUCUCAAUUUCUCUUAAGCUAAGUGCUAAAUCGAUUUUUAGAUAACCUAAAUGGAUAAUGUAUCAUUCUUAAGCUAUUUCCACCAUCAAUAGACCAAGAUUUUGGGUUUUUAAAGAAAACCCUAAGUUCAAAUCGAGUAAGAAUGGUGAAUUUGAGGUUCAUACCUUGCUGGAAAGAGAGAAUUGAUGGCAGAAUUGAAAUCAGCUUUGAAAAAGAGUGAGGUUUGAGCCAAAAAUCUCUUAAAAAGCUUAAGAAUUGAAAAAUGUGUUCUUUCUCCUAGAUCUUUAAGUCUUUUGGAAGAGAGGAGAAGAAAGAGUUUUGAUCCAAAAAGUUUGUUUCUUUUCUUUAAAAAGCAUUUUUGAAGCAAAAACGAAAAAUUUCUGGAAAUUUUUAAGUUUAUGGGAACUUACCUUUUCUUGUUUGCACAUUAGGAAAGUUCAAAACUUACGGAGGAUCUUUUCGGGUUUUACCGGGAACAUUUCGGGAAACACCGGGAAUCACCAGGCAACACCGGGAAAUACCGAAAAAGGCAGAAAUCCGCGGCAUCACCUCAACGACCAACGGCCGCGGUCAGGAGACGCGCGACCGCGGUGAUUGAGGGCUCGGCCGCGGUCAUGUUCACGGUGCCGCGGUCGACGCACCCUUGGCCACGGGUCGAACGGUCGCCACCGCGGCUCUUCCUCCUGCGGCCUAUUGUCCAAUCUUCUAGUCUUUGCCGGGCCGAGCGGCUAAAAACCUACCUUUUCUUCUUGGUUUUUCUAAUUUUCUGAUUUUUUUGUGUUUUUGUUUUAUAACAUACCUAAAACUUAAAAAGAAAAAGAAAGCAUAAAUUGUAAAAAGGAAAAGAAAACUAAAAGAAAGAGUACCUAAAUGGGUUGCUUCCCAUUAAGCGCUUUUGUUUUAAGUCGUUUAGCUCGACGUAAGCAUGAGGAAUCAGGCUGAUUUGAAUGGCACUCCACUUGAUGUGCCUUUAUCACUUCCGGUUGCUGGAGGUUUUACUUCUUCUCCUUGAGGAGAAGUCUUCUUACCUUUACUCUUCUUUCGGACUUUAAUGUUGUUCAGAACCCUUUUUGUGUUUUUGAUCAGCUCCUGGAUUUGGUCCUCACUAGUUUCUGUUGCAUCUGGUGGAAUGAUGAUCUUGAUCUUUGCAAAAGCUUUCGGCUUCUCCUUUUCUUUCUCUUUUGGCAUGUUUCCUUUGCUUGGAAAUUCUUCUAAGAUAGUAGGAUAGUACAUUUUUCUGUCCACAUUGAGGAAAACAGCAUGCCGGUUUGCGUGAUCGAUAAUUGCUCCUACUGUAGCUAGGAAUGGUCUCCCGAAAAUGAGUGGCCUCUCCAUGUCUUUAUCCAUCUCUAGGACUUGGAAAUCUGCUGGAACAGUCUUAUCUCCCACUAGAACUUGUAGAUCGUGAAUCGCCCCUUCAGUAUCUUUUUGAGAUAAAUCUCCAAAGAUAACCUUAACCGUCGAUGUCCUUAAGGUUUUUAUGCCCAAUUUUUCGGCAAAUGUCUUAGACAUGAUGUUGACAUUGGCUCCGGAAUCGCACAAGCAGUCUGUAAACUUGAUUCCUGAAAUGAAACACUGGAAAACAAAACGUCCCGGAUCAUCGGCUUUGGUAAGCCUUUGAAACGGUGAUAGUUCAGGUACCUUAAACGGUGGCUGCUUGGGAUCGAUAUCCUUGUACAGCGGUACAAAGAUUGGGGUUUCUUCUUUCUUUCCAUCGGUUCCGGCCUCUUCUUCGGGCAAUGUGGUUAUGGCGUUGCAAAACUUCUUAGCGUUAUCUUCAACUCUUCCUGGAAGAACUCCACUUUUCCUCUUCAUAGAGUCGGCCGUUUGGGCGACUUGCACAUCUAAUUUUUUUACGUGCGAAGAUAAAGAUUCAAACUUACCAUUCAGAUCAUUGUACAUGCAGACCACUUUCACGUUCACGUCUUUAGAUGCUUUUUCGUUCGUCAUAACGAGCUGUUGGAUUGACUGUUCAAGUCUACCGAUUUGUGAAGCUAGCUGGUUCGUCGUGACUCCCUGCUGUUGUACAAAUUGAUUGUUAAAACCCGUACCUUGGUAGUUAUAUGGCUGUCGCGGUUGAUAUGGUACUAUUCCUCCAAAGUUUCCACCUUGAAACUUGUUUUGGAAGGAUUUUUGCUGAGGUGGGUAGUACUGAUCUUGAGGAUUCUCCACAUUUGGAUUGCGGUAAGAGAGAUUGUUGUAAUUUGCAUUCCGGAAGUUGUUGUUGAAGUUGUUGUUGGAGCGAUUUUGGUAUGGCAUUAGUGCUCCUACGUAGUUCACAUCUUCUUCUUGAAAUGCUUGAUUAAUGUGAUCGAUAUCACUAGGUCCUUCCUCUUCUGCGCCAUUUUUGGUUUCACAGGCAUGGAUCGGGCGAUUGUUGCUCUUCAGAAGCUGGUUCACCAUGUUCUUCAACUCGGUUAUCUCCUUGUUGUCUGUUCCGGAUUGCUUCAUCGAUCGAUCGUAUUCAGGACAGUCAUUGCUAUUGGCUUGAGCCAAAUUUUCGAUGAGAGCUCUUCCUUGGGUUAUCGUCUUUUGCCCAAAAUCUCCAUUGCUAGCUGUAUCAAGUGAAAGUUUGUAUUUUGGUUGCAAACCUCGAUAAAAUGUGCUUAGCAGGCUUGAUCCAUGAAAUCCAUGGUGAGGAGUCACGUUCAUAUUCCUUAAAACGUUCCCAAGCUUCAUAGAAAGAUUCAGUUGGCCCUUGUUGAAAGGUUGAGAUCUUCGUUCUCAAAUUGUUCGACCUUGACUUAGUGUAGAAGUGGUUUAGGAAAGCAGUUCUACAUUCUUCCCAAUUGGUAAUCGAUCCUGCAGGCAAAGACUUCAACCAACGGUGAGCUUUAUCUGCUAAUGAAAAAGGGAACAACUUACACUUUAAAUAGUCAGGUGGAACUUGGUUUGUUCUCAUCAUGCUGCAAAUUUCUUCAAAAAGCUCGAUAUGGUCCAUUGGGUGCUCAGAAGGAACUCCAUGGAACUGGUUUUGCUUCACCAAUGAGAUGAUUUGAGGCUUGACUUCAAACUCAUUCCGGUUUGGAAAUGGUACUUGAAUCGCAGAUCGAUUCUGAAAAUUUUGAGUAUGUGCAUCAAAAUCAGCUAUGCGAUGGUUCUUGGCUUGUCUUUGGUGUUGAUUUGCUGGCGGAAUGGGGCGGUGAAUGCGUUUAUUCGGCUGCAUUGCUGGGUGGUCACCAUCGGCUGCAUUGAUGGGUGGAUCAAGGUCUUCACGUCCUUCUCUCUCUCGGUUCUGGUGGUUUCUUGGAAGAACCUCAUCCUCCUCUCCAUCUUGUCGAGCAUGAUCACCUUUUAUGUGAUCAUUCUCUUUGUUUUCUCCAUGUUCGGACCCGUCUUGGUCCAUAUUUAAAUUUCGAUUAAUAGGAUCUCUAGGCUGGUCGUCGUUGGCCAUUCCUUGCGUUCGUCUAAGUCUUCGAAGUUUUCUUUCGUGUCUGUCUAUCUCGUCUAGAAUUGGAAUGUCUCCUGCAGGUCUACGCCUGGUAUUCAUGAAAUUCAGAGAAAAACAAAAGAAGGGAAAGAUAGUUCAGAAAAACUUUAAGAAAGAACUAGAGAUCAGGUGUCUAGAACAGAAGUUAAAACAAGAAAAAUAGCAAAAGGCAGCGAAACAAAUCCCCGGCAACGGCGCAAAAAACUUGAUGUGCUCGUGUCAACUACGUGAGGGAACAAGUUUUACCCUUAACAAGACAAAUGAAAGCCGCAAGUGCACAGCUAAUCAGUUGUAAUAUUUAGGGAUCGAAUCCACAGAGAUUUGUGUGCCUGAUAUUCUUCUACGGUUUUUAACUUUAUGUCUAGACUAAAUUGGUUUUAAAGGUUGGUUGUUUUUCUUGCGAAUUAAACUAAAACAAAAGAAAGCAAAUAAAUCUAUCCUAAAAAACAGGUAAGAAAAUCGAAUGAAAUGCAAUUAGAAUAGGCAAAUAUCGAAUGAAAGACUAAUAAGGCAAGUAAGAUAUCGCAUGAAAAGUAAAUAAAGCAAGUAAAUAAUGAACUAAGGAAAUUGAAAUGCAGGUCUAAAAAAGCAACUAAAAAUCGAUGGGAUUGUAAACUAUGGCUAAAAAUGCUGAGCUUUUGGGAACUCUAAGGGAUCAUAAUCGGUUUUAACACUAAGGUAGAUAGAUUAGGAUUGACAGAUAACGAUAUAUGGGUUCUAGAGCUAGAGUACGGCGGUAUGACUACGUCACUGUCGUGAUCAUAACCAACAGUUUCUCGCAACCCUGACCAGUAGGUUUCCACUCUGGCCCUGGAAGGGAGAGAACGCAAGAGCUGCUCAAGACUCGUCAAUACUCACGAUCUCGCCGCAGGUAGGUUUCCACUCCUACGGAAAAAUUGCCUUUUCAUUCUAGGGCUGAUACUUAAUGAAAACUUUCGCAACACUAACUAUCUAGAUCAGAUACUAGGUGAUCAAACAAGCAUACAUGCAAUAAGAACAAGAAUAAACAGAGAACAGGUCGAAAUCCCAGAUCUAUAAACCUAGAUGUCUUAAUCGAUUAUGAGAGCCCCUUUCGGGAACCCUAAGCCCAACUCGGGAUCAACUCAGACAUGGCUGAGUUCGACAUCAUCAUUGGUUUUAAUAAAAGUAAUGAAAAAAAGUAAAGAAAAGAGAUAAAGAAAGCUUCUCUAUUGAAGAACUCGGACUUGAACAAUCUUCUACAAAAAUCUCAUAAAAACGGCUAAAGGAAAAGGGUUUAUGUAAAGUAUGAAGGGUUCUCCUUAAAAACGACCUAAAUGACAUGUAUUUAUAGUCUCCAAUACUCCAUGGUCUCUAGGGUUCCAGAAUUGAGGCUGAGAAUGACUUUGGGCUUCAGAUAAGUGGGCUUUAACUCGGAGAUUGAUUGCCGCAGUCGGGAGUGUUGUGACCGCGGCAAUUGGCUUGUUGGUCGCGGUCGGGAAGCUUCUGACCGUGGCAAAUAGCUUGUUGGCCGCGGUCGGGUGAGUUGUUGACCGACUUCGAAUGGCUCCGGGGCUAAUGAAAUAUCUUGAGAUCCAACCGUUGGAAUGUCUCCAAACCAAGUGCAUCUGAAAGCUGGUUGAUUCUUCUAUAAGUUGUCUAAUUUUGAGGGUGAUCAGACGGUGAGAAGGUCUUCGUCUCUCCAUGAGAGUUCUGACGGUCUGCAUUUAUCCAAAAUAGUUUUUUUGUUCCAUUUUGUGCCUCUUUAUCCCAAAUUACCUGAAAAGUCUUUUAAAAUCCGGAAACAUAGAAAUCCUUUGAAAACCUUUGAAAAUGGAGUAAAACCACCUGUAAAAGAUAUUAAAAUGAUCCAUAAAAAUGGUCAAAAUCCGGUGUUAUCACCUUUAAGCCAAUCAAGCAGAAAAGAAGAAAGCUCGGCCCCAAACGAGCUAAAGCAGUUAACGACGAAGUCGAGAGAUUACUCAAAGUAGGAUCAAUCGCCGAGGCCAAAUAUCCGGACUGGCUCGCGAAUCCGGUGGUCGUGAAGAAGAAGAACGGCAAGUGGCGGGUCUGUGUGGAUUUCACUGACCUCAACAAGGCGUGCCCAAAAGACAGUUUUCCCUUGCCACACAUCGACCGGCUUGUCGAAGCCACUGCAGGAAAUAGAUUGUUAACAUUUAUGGACGCGUUCUCUGGCUACAAUCAGAUCCUGAUGCAUCCUGAUGAUUGGGAAAAAACGGCAUUUAUAACUGAUCGCGGGAUAUACUGCUACAAAGUCAUGUUGUUCGGGCUCAAGAACGCGGGAGCAACAUAUCAACGGCUCGUCAAUAAAAUGUUCGCGGCUCAGCUCGGAAAAACCAUGGAGGUAUACAUUGACAACAUGUUAGUCAAAUCACUCAAGGAGGAAGACCACGUCGCGCAUCUACGGGAAUGCUUCGAGCAAUUGAACAAGCACAACAUGAAACUAAACCCGGCAAAGUGCAGAUUUGCGGUCACCUCGGGAGAAUUCCUCGGCUAUCUGGUAACUCACUGAGGCAUAAAAGCAAACCCCAAGCAGAUCAAGGCAUUAAUCGAGAUGCCCUCUCCAAGGACGAAGCACGAAGUGCAAAAGCACACAGGAAGGGUCGCCGCGCUAAACAGGUUUAUUUCCCGUUCUACCGACAAGUGCCUGCCUUUCCACGACACCCUUCGGGGAAACAAGAAAUUCGAGUGGGACGAGCGAUGCGAAGCAGCUUUCCAAGAGUUGAAGAAUUAUCUGGCGAGUCCACCGAUCUUAGCAAAACCAGUCGAAGGAGAGCCGCUCUUCCUCUACAUCGCCGUAUCUGCUACAGCUGUGAGUGGAGUGCUUAUCAGAGAAGAACGACCCGAGCAAAAACCCAUUUUCUACAUCAGCCAGACACUGACCGACGCCGAGACCCGCUACCCCCAGAUCGAGAAGGUCGCCUUAGCCGUCGUAGUCUCGGCUCGCAAACUGCGCCCGUAUUUUCAACCACAUUCAAUUGUUGUGCUCGCUACACUUCUGCUGCGCUCGAUCCUACACAGCCCGAGCCAAUCCGGUCGGCUCGCCAAGUGGGCCAUAGACUGAGCGAAUACGACAUCGAGUAUCGGAACGGGUCGUCUGCAAAGUCACAGGUGCUCGCAGAUUUUCUCAUCGAACUUCCAGCCGAAGCAACGAACGAGCCAACCCCGGACGAAGUAUGGACGCUGCACGUCGACGGCUCGUCAUCUAAACACGGCUCAGGAAUAGGAAUCCGCCUCACCUCUCCCACAGGAGAGAUACUGGAGCAGUCGUUUCGCCUAAACUUCCACGCCUCGAACAACGAAGCAGAAUACGAAGCAGAAUACGAAGCACUGAUCGCCGGUGUACGACUAGCGCAAAGAAUUGGAGUUCAAAAGAUAAUAACCUUUUGCGAUUCACAGCUCGUAGCAUGCCAGUUCAACGGAGAGUACGAGGUGAAAGAUGGACGAAUGGGAGCUUACCUCAACGUGGUCCGAGAGUUGGUGCAGAAGUUCGACGAGUUCGAGCUCACACAAAUUCCCCAAGGAGAAAACACCUCGGCUGACGCCUUGGCAGCACUCGCCUCGACCUCAGACCCAGACCUCCGACGGACGAUUCCAGUUGAAUUCAUCGAACGUCCUAGCAUCGAAGAGGUAGAAAGAGUUCGGCUGAUAAAUCCUCCCGAACAAGAACCGGAAGACGACAAAGCCAUUCCUAUGGACGAAGACGCCCUACCAGCCGAGCCGGAGUACGGCUGCAACAAAAAAUGGCUCGGAGCUAUCCGAGUAUAUAUCGCCGAUGGAGAAGUCCCAACCGACAAGUGGGAAGCCCGCAAAUUAAAAGCAUAGGCCACGCGGUAUGUCCUUGUCGACGGAGAGGUGUUUAAAUGGAGAUUUUCAGGACCUCUCAUGACAUGCGUCGAAGGACCGGAGGCAAGAAAGAUCAUGCACGAACUGCACAGCGAAGCGUGCGGAAACCAUUCUAGCGGAACGUCGCUCGCUAUCAAGAUAAAACGGCACGGUUACUUCUGGCCUACGAUGGUCAAGGACUGCGAAACAUUUACGGCAAAGUGCGAGAAGUGUCAACGGCACGCUCCAACAAUUCAUCAACCUACCGAGCUGCUCUCAUCAAUUUCGUCAUCUUACCCGUUCAUGAGAUGGUCGAUGGACAUCGUCGGACCUCUACAUCGAUCGAAGCAGAAGCGCUUUCUGCUCGUCCUCACGGGUUAUUUUUCCAAGUGGGUCGAGGCUGAUUCCUACGCAAGCAUAAAGGAUGUUCAAGUCGAACACUUCGUAUGGAAAAAUAUCAUCUGCAGACACGGGUCCCCUACGAGAUAGUCACCGACAACGGAUCCCAGUUCAUCUCGACGCGUUUUGAAGCCUUCUGCGAGAAGUGGAAAAUCCGUCUAAGCAAAUCUACACCAAGAUACCCUCAAGGGAACGGACAAGCUGAAGCAGCCAACAAGACAAUCCUAGACGGUCUGAAAAAGAGGCUCGACGCCAAGAAAGGACGAUGGGCAGACGAACUCGAAGGAGUCCUUUGGUCGCAUCGAACGACCCCGCGCCGAGCCACCGGAGAAACUCCAUUCGCUUUGGUCUACGGAGCGGAAUGCGUAAUUCCCCCCCGAGGUGGACUUCCCAGGUAUUCGACGAAGACUUCUACCAGGACAUGAGGGCUUAAACCACUUAAUGAUGCUAGAUGAGCUCGAUCUAAUCAACGAAAGGCGUGACCAGGCUUUAGUCCGAAUCCAGAACUAUCAACAAGCAACGGCGAGGUACUUCAACAAAAACGUUCGUAGUCGAAGAUUCAAAGAAGGAGAGCUCGUCCUUCGAAAGAUUUUCCAAAACACUGCCGAGAAGAAUGCAGGAAAGCUCGGAGCAAACUGGGAAGGUCCUUACAAGAUUACAAAAGUAGUUCGCGCAGGAGUCUACGAACUCGCAACCCUAGCUGACGAAGCGAUUCCAAGAUAAUGGAACGCAAUGCAUCUAAAGAAGUAUUAUCACUAAAGCUACAGUACGGUCAACAUGAACUACGGGACGGCUUGAUCCCUGCAAAGGGUACGUAGGCAGCCCGUCCUCGGACGGAUUCAGCUGUCCCCCCUCCUAAAAAGGGGGGGGGGGGAGUGGGUACGUAUACACAUACUUUCAUUUAACUCUACAAUUUUAGCUCACCUACCUAGGAACAUUGCCACUUCGGCACAUUUUCAGUUCGUUUUAAGUUAUCUACUUAUUUCAUGUUCACCUCGGAAUUCUAGUUCGUUCAUUAUCGCUUCGGCUAGUUUCUCAUUCUUUUAAAUCAGCAGCUUAUUUCAUAAUUCGCCUCGGAUUCUUUAAUUCGUUCACCCAUCACUUUGACAUGUUAUCAUGACUUAAUCGUCUCAGACCUUUUACUUGCCUUCACUUUCAGUUCGACAAAUUAAGUCUCCAGACGCCUCGUCUCGUUGCUGGCCACAACGGGACAACGGAUACAAAGUUCUCUAAACGGACUUUUACCACCUUUCUUAGGACGAGGGUGCAAGUUACAUCCUCUAUGAAUAAAAUUAAAGCGCGCUAUACAAAUAUCAGACCAAAAACGUAUCGGUCGCCACAGUUUACUAUCGCACACAGAUUAUAAGUCGAGACUACAUCGCUUUCUCUAAAACCGAAGUGAACUCUUAAAACCCGGCAAAACACACUCAUCCUCUCGGAAACGCCGGUCUAUGGUCAUAUUCAACGAGACUACUAUAUCCUCUUGAUCUUUCGCCUCGUCAAUGAGAAAACACAUAACUUACCUGAUAAAUACUUCGGCUUCUUUCUCAAAACAAUCUUAUAACAGCUCACCUCAAUGCGGACCUCUCUCAGUGACAGAAUGGAUAAACCCCAAAUCAUUUUUGGUUAAUAAAAACAAAACGCCUCGUCGUUUACACGGCUCGGCAUCAUGCAAAGAAAAACGCCUCGUCGUUGAACACGGCUCGGCAUUACCAACAAAAGUUGCCUGGAUAUUAUCACUUAACACUUUUUAGCGUCACCUAAAACAAAAGACGCUCCACAAACCAACUCCCAGCUCGGGAUUCAGAACUCAAACGGGAUCCUGAACAACUCACCCCUUAGCCCGUAUUUCUAUCAAUUUCAAAGAAUUCGGCUAGAAAAGCAAUCGAGAUCAUUCUCGACACAGCUCGAUAAGCCAAUCGGUGACAACUCUUUCCAAACAAACAGUUUUUGUAAACAUUUUCACGGAUCGUCAAGGACAAACGAAUCAAAUCCGAAAACGGCUAAGGAAAAGAUAAUAUAACCAAAUGGAAAAAUAACAGUCAGGUGGAUAAAGCCAUCCAGGCACCGGUUUCACAAGAUUUCAAGAAGCAGAUAACAUCACCUAAAAUCCUAAGUACAAAAGCAUGUGAGACGAAAAGAUAGGAGAAAGCGGAGAGGAUCAGGCCGCAGACUGCGUUUCACACUCGGCAAGGAGGUUCGAGAGGGCCGGCGUCUCCGCAUUCGAUCCGGUCGGAUCUACGACGCCCAGGUUGGCCGCUGUCUCCUCGAGCGGCUCGUUACCGAGACUGGUGUCCACCUAGUCCGGCGAUACGGGCGAAAAAACCAGGUUACCUCGAAUCUCAGAGGCAAUGCGCUCAUACGCCUCGUCGUCGGCGUACUUGCUCUCCCAGCUCUUCAGCUUCGCCUCCUCGUCAUCGAGCGUUGGGGCGUCCAGUUUCAUCAGGUCGGCAAUCAUCGCAAGAUUGCCCUUGAUCUGCCCCAGCUCGUUCUUGUCGGUUUUGGCCUUCUCGAGCUUGGCCAAACCUUCCUUUACCUUGGCGAGGCGUUCCUGAAACUUAUCCUUUGCCUCGAUACGCUUUUUGAGCAACGCCACCUCGGCGCUUUUAGCUCUCCUAGCCUCCUCCAGGCAAAUAGCCGAGGCGGAGACCUUGUCAAUAUUGGUGCAGAGAACUAUCUUCUCCUCUUCCAGCCUGGACACCCUGGUCAUCGCCUCGUCCAGCUUCCCCUUUGCCAACGCGGUCUCGUUCGGAGCCUCGUCCAAGCGACGUUCAACCUUAGACAGGUCCGUCUCGUAUUCAGCCAUCAGCUCGUUGAUGGUCGCUACAAACUGCAAGGAAUAAUGCGCGUUAAACACUUGGUACCACGCUGUGCCAUCGCGCCGUACGACCUCGGUCUCCUCAGCUUUUCUGGAGGAGGAAGACGCGUGUUCGCAUUAUUAACGCGCGCGAACAUUACUGCCGAGGCGUCAGGGUCGUCAACGACCAGUUUGCGCGCAGCGUGAUCACCGGGAGUCGACUUGCGCUUCUUCUUGGACGGCUCAUCUUUUGGAUAGCAACGCCCGCUGAACGUUUCCGGCUAGGGUCGUGCUUACGUACAACCGAGGUCGGGGGCCUCGAUGACUUCGGGAGAGCCAGAAUAGCGGAAUUUGAAGGAGUUUUACUCCGCGCCGCCGAGUCAUCUUUGGACGCCUCGGGAAUAAUCUCGCCCGGUUCCACCUCGGGCGCUGUUUCUUUUUCGGCCGCCUCGGCAACGUUCGCCUCCGUGGCUCGGACCGUGUCGUCACCUUCACGGCUCGGCGGAUCGGUCUGAGGGAUAGCCUCGGUCUCUGUUUGAGCCGCCUCGGCGGCUCGUCUCGCGGCUUCUUCCUCUUCACGCCUCUUCUUAUCUCUGAGAGUAAUGAUCACCAUUUUCUCUCUGGUAUCUCUUGAGGAGCUGGAAGAUGAAGAGCUAACAGGGACUCCGGCAAGAAUAGCUCGCGCUUUUUCUACUCUCUCAAGUGUGAAAUUCUUCCUCCAGUUAAGCUUCCGAGCCGAAAGGGAGUCUCGAACAAUAAAGAGGUCGUCGGGAAUCGGGGAAAGAAUAUUCCGAACUGCAAAAACAACGCAAAAAGAAAAAAGAUUCAGUAAGGGAAAAUGCAAAAAAAACAGUUCCGAGCCGAGGCAAAGCUUCGGAUCGGCUACCAAGUGUCCCCAAGCGGUCUUGGUUUUUUUAAUGUAAUCCUCGCCGACCGACGCCUCGUUCACCAAGACAUAGAAGAAGCGUUCGGUCCAAAACUGAAACUUGCUUGGAAAACCACCUAUAAUCCGGCGAUUGGACUUGUUAGAAAUAUAGAAUCUAUCUCCCUUCGGAGCUUUCCUGAUUUUCAGCAAGUUCAGUGAUGUGCUCGUGUCAACUACGUGAGGGAACAAGUUUUACCCUUAACAGGACAAAUGAAAGCCGCAAGUGCACAGCUAAUCAGUUAUAGUAUUUAGGGAUCGAAUCCACAGAGAUUUGUGUGCCUGGUAUUCUUCUACGGUUUUUUAACUUUAUGUCUAGACUAAAUUAGUUUUUAAGGUUGGUUGUUUUUCUUGCGAAUUAAACUAAAACAAAAGAAAGCAAAUAAAUCUAUCCUAAAAAACAGGUAAGAAAAUCGAAUGAAAUGCAAUUAGAAUAGGCAAAUAUCGAAUGAAAGACUAAUAAGGCAAGUAAGAUAUCGCAUGAAAAGUAAAUAAAGCAAGUAAAUAAUGAACUAAGGAAAUUGAAAUGCAGGUCUAAAAAAAGGCAAGUAAAAAUUGAUGGAAUUGUAAACUAUGGCUAAAAACGCUGAGCUUUUGGGAACUCUAAGGGAUCAUAAUCGGUUUUAACACUAAGGUAGAUAGAUUGGGAUUGACAGAUAACGAUAUAUGGGUUCUAGAGCUAGAGUACGGCGGUAUGACUACGUCACUGUCGUGAUCAUAACCAACUGCUUCUCGCAACCCUGACCAGUAGGUUUCCACUCUGGCCCUGGAAGGGAGAGAACGCAAGAGCUGCACAAGACUCGUCAAUACUCACGAUCUCGCCGCAGGUAGGUUUCCACUCCUACGGAAAAAUCGCCUGUUUCAUUCUAGGGCUGAUACUUAAUGAAAACUUUCGCAACACUAACUAUCUAGAUCAGAUACUAGGUGAUCAAUCAAGCAUACAUGCAAUAAGAACAAGAAUAAACAGAGAACAGGUCGAAAUCCCAGAUCUAUAAACCUAGAUGUCUUAAUCGAUUAUGAGAUCCCCUUUCGGGAACCCUAAGCCCAACUCGGGAUCUACUCAGACAUGGCUGAGUUCGACAUCAUCAUUGGUUUUAAUAAAAGUAAUGAAAAACAGUAAAGAAAAGAGAUAAAGAAAGCUUCUCUAUUGAAGAACUCGGACUUGAACAAUCUUCUACAAAAAUCUCAUAAAAAGGGCUAAAGGAAAAGGGUUUCUGUAAAAUAUGAAGGGUUCUCCUUAAAAACGACCUAAAUGACAUGUAUUUAUAGUCUCCAAUACUCCAUGGUCUCUAGGGUUCCAGAAUUGAGGCUGAGAAUGACUUUGGGCUUCAGAUAAGUGGGCUUUAACUCGGAGAUUGAUUGCCGCGGUCGGGAGUGUUGUGACCGCAGCAAUUGGCUUGUUGGCCGCGGUCGGGAAGCUUCUGACCGCGGCAAAUAGCUUGUUGGCCGCGGUCGGGUGAGUUGCUGACCGACUUCGAAUGGCUCCGGGGAUAAUGAAAUAUCUUGAGAUCCAACCGUUGGAAUGUCUCCAAACCAAGUGCAUUUGAAAGCUGGUUGAUUCUUCUAUAAGUUGUCCAAUGUUGAGGGUGAUCAGACGGUGAGAAGGUCUUCGUCUCUCCAUGAGAGUUCUGACGGUCUGCAUUUAUCCAAAAGAGUCUUUUUGUUCCAUUUUGUGCCUCUUUAUCCCAAAUUACCUGAAAAGUCUUUUAAAAUCUGGAAACAUAGAAAUCCUUUGAAAACCUUUGAAAAUGGAGUAAAAACACCUGUAAAAGAUAUUAAAAUAAUCCAUAAAAAUGGUCAAAAUCCGGUGUUAUCAUUCAGCAGGUGAUUCAGUUCGAUAUCAAGCCUGCACUCAAAGCUUCGAACCAAAAUGCCAAUCAUAUGCCGUAGACCCCUCGGCAUGAUCUGCCUAAUUGAGAUCCCAUGUUUCCAGAGGUAUUCAAGGAUAACUCCAGGGAUCGGGAACCAGAGAAAUCAAAGCUCGAAGAACGCCUCGUACAGAGUGAAGUGAUUCUCGGGAGGCUUGUCGUCUCGGUCGUUCUUAUCUGGAACGAUAAACUCCACCGCCUCGGAUAUCUCGAAACAACGCCUGAACGCCUCGAGUGAGUCAGGGGAGGAAUGCGUAGAACCAGGCGGGUCAGGUUUUUGUCUUUUCACCCGUUGCCUUCGCCCAGAUGAAGAAGCGCCUCAGGACGCCAUGAAACGUUCUAAUUCAUGCUUUGCCUCGAACAGAUCAAAGGGAAACGCCUCCUCCUCGGCUUUUACUGCAGCACGAUUAACGUCUUCGUCAAGAGCGGGACCCUGAGGCUGGCUCGUCGAAACCGACGGCUCGUCAUCUAGAGAGCGGGCGCCUGACGGAUUUGAAUGAUUCGACGCCUCGUCGCUUUCAGGUGAACGGUUGGAAGGGCUCGGCGAAAUGGAUGCCUCGGAAGAUUCUGUUGCACUUCUCGCCUCGGCAUUUACAUGGCUCGGUUCGUAGUUAAAAAGCGAAUCCAACGAAUCAUCAGAACGGUUCGACAUGAUUUACAGAUUAUACGGGAAUUACAAGGUUACACGGCGAACUUCCAUCGGAAAAAGAUCUAGAGCGGCGGAGACCUCAGAACCCUAGACGGAAAAUAAAUAAACAAGACAGAGAAAGAAGAGAGAAGGGAGAGCUACCUUUUAGUGAAAACGAGUGGAUCUGAAGAUUAUGAGAAGGAACAAAAGAGCUCACCUAUUUAUAGAAAAACCGAAGCGCGUGGGUUAUGUGUGAACCUCGGGAGACCGUCCAACAGCGCGUGGGAUCCGCGGCGUAUUAACUAGCUCCAACUGCGUCGGUUACACGCGCCAAUAAAUCAGGAAAAUUCUUUCGGAAGACCAACGGUUGGGAUACCUGAGUUUUCAGCCGACAUCUCGCCACAGUAAACGCCUCGUCGUUAACAAAACGGCUCGGCAUUAACUUUUUCUUGAAACGCCUCAUCGUUAUCAAAAUGGCUCGGCAUGACUUUCUCAAAAACGCCUCGUCAUUUAUUCGGCUCGGCAUGACCUUCUCAAAAACGCCUCGUCGUUUAUUCGGCUCGGCAUAAUAUUCACAAGUCGCCUCGCGUACAACCCUCUUCUAAGGAUAUCUUCCCAAACAGCAUAGACCGCGCCACGCCUCGUCGUUAAACUCGAAUCACGGCUCGGCAUUAUCAACACAAACGCCUCGUCGUUAAACUUGAAUCACGGCUCGGCAUUAUCAACGUAAACGCCUCGUCGUUAAACUAGAAUCACGCCUCGGUAUCCUUGACACCCUCUGGGAAUGCCUCGGCACUUUUUCGAAAAAGCGUCUCAUCACUAACGAGGCGGCUCGGCACAUUCUUCACAUAACCUCGCCAAAACGGCUCGCUACUACACACUGUCGAAGGGCGGCUCGGCAUCUUUAUUUCCAAAACGCCUCACUUGGGACUGUGUCGCAACAGCUCGACUCGAUGGUCUAUCCUAUGAACCUCGUCACUCUCGCCUCCGAAACUGACGAGCUGGGGGGCUAACUGUUGGGGUCGGUUUCACCCUAAUCGGUUUAAACCAUCUCAAUAACAUUGGAGAGCCGAUUCCGACAAGGAGAACCGGUGACCUGUCAAAAAUGGGCCGAGCCCCACAGAAGAAGGCCAAGCUCAAGUGGGCCGAGCCGUGAGGUGAAAAUGGGUGAGCCGCGUAUGAGAGCAGACGGGCCGAGCUGUGUCGUGAGGUAUGGGCCGAGCCGCACUUCAACAUGAUUGGACCGAGCCGCGCCUCACGAGUUAGGCCAAGUCACGUCUCAACUCGAAUGGCAAGUGGGCCGAGCCAUGGAGAAGGUUAGAUGGGCCGAGCUGUGAGAAGAACGGUGAGCGGGCCUAGCAGCGUGAGAGGAGGCAUGGGCCGAAUCGCUUCCCUGUGUGUUGGGCCGAGCCGGUUUUCCAAGAUGGGCCGAACCAAGGCUUUAGAAGACGAAAGCCCACAGAAGCCCUAGGUGAAGUAUUAUGACGGUGGCCGCACGAAGCGAUAAGGAAAUAUACCUAAAAUCUCUCCCAAGAUUCUCGGGAGAGGCGGUUUAAGAAGUUAGUAUAAAUAGGAGAUUUUUACGAUUCAUUAUGUAACUUUUGCCACCCUAAGCAAUAAGACCUAAACACUUUAACAGCAAUAAAAAUCCUCUUUUGAUCUUACUGUUCUUGCGAUUACCCUAGAUGUUUCGGAUCCCUUAGUUUUUCCCUUACAAAUUUUUGGUUGUGCGAGUUUUGGCUCACACAGGUAUCAGAGCUAAAUCGAUCUCUAGGAUUAUGGUUAUUUUCUUAUUAGAUUAGGAGAUAUCUAGUUUUAAUAGGAAAAGGAAAGUGGCUUAGCAAAGUUGUGCAAACCACUAUAUAUAUGUAAGUCAUUGAUGAUGUUGCAUCUAAGAGUAUUCGGAUGCAUCAGUUUUGCAAAGACAGAGGCUCAACACUUGAAGAAGCUGGAUGAUAGAUCACGAGUACUUGUUCACUUAGGAACGAAACCAGGAUCAAAACCAAGAAAAUAGUUGUGAGCAGGGAUGUGAUCUUUGAUGAAAGCAAAGGCUGGAAGUGGGGUGAGAAGGAAAUCAGUAACAACACUGGAAUUUCUAUAAUCAGUUUUGGAGAACACAAUUAUAAUAACUCAAGGGGAGAUGACCAUGAUCUCGAAGAAGAAACAGAGGAAAAGGAGGAAGAGAGUUCCGAAGAAGAGGUCACUGAGCAUGAAAUACAAGUUCCCAAACCCGAGACAGAGAUGAUAUAUCAAGGAGAAGAAGUUGAACAAGGACUAAGGAGAUCAACAAGGUCAAGAGUAAGCCCGAGUUAUCUCGAUGACUUUGUCACUUUAGCCAAGAUUGAUAGUGAACACCUAUUGCUACUUAUAAACGAAGAGCCAUGGGAUUGCAAUGAGCAAAAGGCUGAUAUCUUAACCAAGGCACUAGGAAGAAACAAGUUCAAGGAGAUGAGAUAUCUCAUUGGAGUUCUAGGUGUGUCACAAAAGGAUUUCAAGCUUAAGGGGGAGAAUGUUGGAAUAAGCUUGAAAGAAACUUGAAGUGCAACUUUCCUAAUCCUAAUCAAAGUGUGUUUUCUAGAAGGUUAGGAUUAGAAAAGGAAAUUUAGGAGUUAUCUAAAAAGGAAAUUUGUUUCUCUAUUGAAAUUAGGAGUUAUCUAUUCCAUUCUCUAUAUAAGAGUUGCAAAAUUUGUGGUAGACAUUAUGAGUUGAGAGAGUGAUUAAGAGAGACUUUAGUUUUUGAGUGAUUUUUAAACAAUGGAGAUACCAGGUAAUUAAUCUGGUAUCCCUUUCUCUCUGUUUGAAUGUUCAAACAAUUAUCUGGAGCUUCCCCAGAGCUUAUAAACAGGCUAGUACCAGAGCACGUUAGGCGACAGAUGAGUGGAGGCUUUCCAUUUCAAGCUGCUCCGUAUAAACGACUUCGAAACCAAGAUGCUUUGUUCUUGGUAGAUAAGCCCAUCAAGCUUUUGCUUGGGGAUGUAGAAUUUCAAUUAUUUUAGGGGCCAUUUAGUAUAAAUAUUAGUUGGUUAAGAUGGUGCAGUGAUCUAUGAAAAAAGUGUUUAUUUGUCAUUGUAUUUGGCAUAUUUUAUUUUUAAUCAACAUUAUAUUAUAGAAAUAACUUUUCUUAAACAAUUUAAAAUAAAACAAAUGAAACAAAAACUACAAAACUCCAUCGUCCACUUUACUGUUCGCAUCUACUAUUCAAAAUAAAGAAAAUAACAUAUAUAUUCUAAGUGGAGGUUAUUGGGGAUAAAACGUUUCCUAAUUUUAGUAACAACUAAUAGCAUUUGCAGAUUUUUGCAAGAAAAAAGAAGUUAAAUCCAUUUCUGAAUUGGAAAAAAGGUUUGAAAAUUUCUCAAAACAGAAAGAAAAGAAAAUAGUUAUAAAAAAAAAAGCAUAUAUGUAUUUCCAUUCCUAGACGAUUCUUUACCGAUCUUGCGUGGUGAAAAAAGUAAUACUCAUAUUUUUUCUAUGUUUGGUGUUGAAGAGAUUUUCCAAUAAUCUAUUAUAAAAGAUAAACUUACUAUUACGAAAGAAAAAUUAGGAAAAAAAAUCUGUAUAUACAUUGUUCACUCGAGCUAAAACUAUAGAAACUAAUGAAUAAUUCAACAAAAUCAGGAUUCUUUCUAGUAAUGAUGAAACUUAUUACAAAUAAGAAAGAGUACAAAUAUAUGUGAUCCCAGCUUACAAUGAACCUGCUCCCUACUUAGCAAAAACAAAACUUUUCCAACAAUGUUUUCUAUUCUAGUUGUAUUUAUUCCCCUAUCUGGUUAACCCCUCUACUUCAUUGUGACUUUGUAUGUUCUUCACUUUCUGGUCAAUAUAGAUAUGCUUCUUGUACAAUUACAUGUAAUCCCAGUUUCCCACUCCGAAACCAAACUUUCCCACAUAAGGUCAGCAAUCUAAAAUCUUAUAUAAACCAUCAUAAACAUAAACUUUAGAGCUAACACUGUUUUCAUACUUAAACCCUCUAACCACCCGUACCUCAAUAUCAUGGUACAUACUCCUCUCUAUUGCUAGAUUCCCACUUUCUAGAGCUUCUGAUGUUGAAUCUGCCUGUGGAGCUUAUCUUGACCACCGUGAUCUACCAGAACAUCUCCAUGUGUCUUCAUCAUCCUCGUAAUUACCUGAGACGAUAAUGCUGGUGGCUAUUGGUUCAUCUCCUGUGUAAGCCCACCAAGAACAGUUUCAUGACGGUAAAAUAAGACGUCGCUGAUCUCAACCCGAAGGGAUGGAACCCACUAAGUAUUUAUCCUGGGGUUGAGAUCGGUCGACGUGUUCUUUUACCGUCAUGAACUGUGCUUGGUGGGCUUACACAGCCAGCUACAACGUAGCUCCAAAGGUGAACCGAUAGUCAUCAGCAUUGUCAUCUUGGUAAUUACGAGGAUGAUGAAGACAUACGUGGCUUGUUACAUUAGUCCCAGAAAAGAACCAAAUGUUCUUUCUACAUCUCUUAUCAUAUAAGUCUUAUUGUCUGUUCUUUCUCUCUCUCUGUUUUGCUCCUAUGGCAUUUUUGUCUUGCUUUAGCUUGGGGUAAUAUCUCGAAUCAAUGUUCUUGUUACUCCCCUUCUCUUAUCAUAGGAAACUCAUUGUCUGUACCAUUUUCUAGUUCACAUGCCAAAGUCUUACCGUUUUAGAGUUUUCCUUAAACGCAAUCAUUUUGUAUUCUCUCUCUCUCCGUUUUGCUCAUAUGGCAUUAAUCUGUUGCAAAAAUGAUGCAGAUGAAGAAUAUUUUGACAAAACAUAAACCUUUCUCUGCUCGUUCGCUGUUCUGUCUUUCCUUCUCUCUACGAUAUCUGCAAGGCAAGAUAAAUGUUCUUUCUACUUCUCUUAUCAUAGGAGUCUCAUUGUCUGUUCUUGCAUGCCCACAUGCCGAAGUCUUAAUAUAUUUGAGUAUUUUCGAAGUUUGUUUGGUUGCUCAAUUAAACCAAUCGCAUUCAGUGAAGAAUUAAUGUGGAUUCCAUUUUCUAAACCAGACCCAUUUAUUGUGAUAGAUAAUACAUAUUUGGUAAGUUACAAACAAUAGAGAUGAAAAUUGCCCUAAGUAAAAAGGAAGAAGAAAUUAAAUAUCUAUCACACUACAAGACAUGUUUGGACCACACAAAAACUCAGGGUUUAAUAGUUUGAUCGUGUGUGAUCAAACUAACAUAUUUUUGAUUUUUGUUUUACAUUUGAUUUAUUUUGUGUGGUAUCAACCAAUGUUCUAUUUGUUUUACAAAGAACGAUAGGAGUCUCUUCCAAAAUUUCAUUCUACAUUUCAUAAUUCUUAUUGCAAAAGUUCACGAUAUCUUUUUUUGUUUGUCAUUCAUUUUAAUUUCUAGGCUGAGCUCAAAAUUUCUCGAAAAAUUUGUUGUAACAGUAUGGAGGCAGAAGCUACAACUCUUCUUUGGAUCAUGAUAUGUUUGGAUAAUCUUGGCUAUGAAGAGGUAAUUUCCGAGAGUGAUUCAAAGAUAUUGGAGAAAGCGGUAUAAGCUGAACCUCGAGAAUGGUCAAGGUUUAUAGUCUAUACCUGAGAAAUCAACAAGACAAGAAAAAUAUUAAUUCGACCAACCAUCACUUUCCAAGGAAGACGAGCAAACUAAUGUGUUGAUCUUACAGCCAAUAAAACCUCUUCAUAUGAAGUUCAUUAUGCAUUCUUGAUUAUAUUGUACGUACUCUUUGGUUGAGAAGGAGAAACGAAUUUAUAUGAAAUAUGUUUGAGCUCGAAAAAAUAAGAAAAAUAUGGCAUUAUGUUAAGGAAUGAUGAUAACUCUCCGAAAUUAACAGCAACAAAAAAAUGGAUGACAACUCCUCGUUUACUGGUUUGGAUUCUAUACUAUUACAUUUCGGUUAUUUUCUCAUUUUCACACUUUUCCAUUAUUUUAUAACAUGUUAUGAUGUCAAAAAGAAAUUACAACAUGAUAUAGUGAAAUACAAACGAUAUAACUAUUAAAGUAGCAUUAUUUUAUGGCAUUUUAAAUUUUUAAUUUUGGAUGAUGUUUACUUUUUUUAAUUAAUUUUAUUUCAAUUAGGUAUGUCUCAAGUGGUUAUUUAAAUUCUCUUUCGUUUCUAACAUAAAAUUUUGUUUUAUGUUUAUGAAACUUUUCGCCCGCGUAAAGCGCGGGCUAAAUACCUAGUUUAAUAUUUAAAAUGACACAAUCGUUUUACCAAAAUUUUUUACGUAUAGGAAAUGAUAAAAGAAAAACAUUUACUUGUAAAAUUUUAAAAAUAUAUACUAGAACAAAAAACCUGCUUGUACACGCAGGUGAUCAUCUAGUAGUUAUAAAAAUAGCAUAAUUGUAUGUAUUUCACACUCGUAGACAAUUCUUUACCGAUCUUGCGUAGUGAGAAAAAUAAUACUCAUACUAUUGUUUAUGUCUGGUGUUAAAAAGAUUUUCCAAUAAUUUAUUACAAAAAAAUAAAUUUAAUUUUCGAAAGAAAAAUUAGGAAAAAAUUUAUAUACAUGUUCAUUUGAAUUAAAACUAUGGAAACUAAUGAAGAAUUCAACAAAACCAGGAUUCUUUCUAGUAAUGAUGAAACUUAUUACAAAUAAGAAAGAGUACAAGUACAUGUAAUCUCAGUUUACAAUGAAUCUGCUCACUACUAAAAAAAAAAUGUUUUUUCCAACAAUGUCUUCUGAACCCUUUGAUCUGCUACUAUUAAUCCGAGAAGCAGAAACAUGUUUUCAGCCAAGUGAGAAUUCUUGAUUAUACCCACAUAUCUGCAUCUCCUAAAAUUGAGGUUCCAUACAUUUUCAUUGCUGGAUGCUUGUGAACGCAUACCAAGAUUUGGAUGCUCGUCGAGAGGUUGGGUCCUCUUCUAAAUCCAACACAGGUGAAUGGUUGAGAACUGGAGUGGAUGUUGUUGACUUAAGCAGCAGCAACAACAACAAUACAGAUAAAGCAAUCAAAAGACCAUUCUUGGAUUUGGGUGUCGUUUUUCCUACCAUCACCGUUAGCAACANNNNNNNNNNNNNNNNNNNNNNNNNNNNNNNNNNNNNNNNNNNNNNNNNNNNNNNNNNNNNNNNNNNNNNNNNNNNNNNNNNNNNNNNNNNNNNNNNNNNCUGAAAUCUUCGGUUUGGGGAUUGAGCCUGCUUAAGUCCGCAUUACACAAGCACAUGUAACAUCUCAGAAAAAUAACUUCAAAAUACGGCCAGCAGAUCAGCAGGAUACCGCUUUAUCGAUCUCCUUCACUUAACCGCGUAAUGAUUUUAAAGGCAUGGGGAGACAGUAAAAGCAAGAUUUGAACAUUAGAGUAUAUGUAUGGUUUCUGUUCCUCAGUUUACAUCAUCAGCAUCCACUCCAGUUCUCAACCAUCCACCUGUGUUGGAUUUAGAAGAGGAACCAACCAACCACUUAUAUCCAUUCUGCUCCUGGUGUCUUCCACAGAGAUGUGAAACUACAGAACCUUUUGGUAAGUUGAUCUUAUUGUGGGUUUGUCUUCGGUAACCAUUACUAGAUUGUAAUCCAUUUCUCUGGUGCGUUCUGUAGGUUGAUCCCCUCACUCAUCAGUGUAAGCUGUGUGAUUUUGGAAGUGCAAAAGUAUUGGUAAGGGUUUACCUUAUUUAUGUUGUUUUAUUAUUUUUCCACUGCUUAUGUGUUCUGUCUCAUGAAAUCAAUUGCACCUUAUUUGUUUUCAUGAUCUUUGCAACAUGUGACUAUUGACUUUAGGUGAAAGGUGAACCAAAUAUAUCAUAUAUCUGCUCUCGGUAUUACCGAGCUCCAGAACUCAUCUUUGGGGCCACAGAGUCUACAUCCUCCAUAGAUAUAUUGUCUGCUGGUUUUGUUUUGGCAGAGCUCCUUCUUGGUCAGGUUAGUGUAAACUAAUUUAUCCAUUAAGUAUCUUGAGAACUAAAGCAUCUCUCCAAUAUCUUUGACAAUCAUUUGAUAUUUAUUUAUCUUCAGCCGUUAUUCCCCCAAAAUUCUGUGGACCAGCUAGUGGAGAUCAUCCAGGUGAAGUCUCAUUUUGAUUUAGAGUUUACCUUGGCGUCAUUAUAGAAAAUUCCUAUAAUCUAAUAGAUUUUUCAUUAUGAUUAAAAUUUCGUUCUGUUUAGGUUCUUGGUACUCCAACUCAAGAAGAAAUCCGAUGCAUGAAUCCAAACUUUACAGACUUUAGGUUCCCACAAAUCAAAGCUCAUCCAUGGCAUAAGGUAUUUUAUAUGCAUGUUACGUUCUAACUUUUCUGAUCAUACAAUAGCUUAGUAGAAAAAUGAAAAGCUGAAACAAUACACAUACUACUUUAUGACCUCCAGGUUUUCUAAUAAGCGGAUGCCUCCAGAAGACAUUGACCUUGCAUCUCGGCUUCUUCAACAUUCAUCGAGCCUACGUUGCACUGCGGUCAGUAUCUCUAAACGACCAAGUAUUCUUAGUUGUUAGAGUGGUUCUCUCUGUUUGGACCUGCACUGUUUAAUGAUGCUGGGGCUUUUUAACUGACAUGUGUUAUGUUUCCGUGUCUAAAAAGCUCGAAGCAUGUGCUCAUCCAUUUUUCAAUGAACUACGUGAGCCCAAUGCUCGUCUUCCAAACGACCGACCUCUACCACCGUUGUUCAACUUCAAACAAGAGGUACGUUAGUCCACUUUCCUUAAACCAACCAUUCUUAAACCAAACCAUAACAGAUGUUAAGUUCAAACAGUUUCUUAAUCUUGUAUCUCUCUCUGUUUAAAUGUUAAAACAGUUAUCUGGAGCUUCCCCAGAGCUUAUAAACAGGUUAGUCCUAGAGCAUGUUAGGUGACAGAUGAGUGCAGGUCCAAACAGAGAGAACCAGGUUAGUACUAGAGCACUGUUCAAGCUGGUCUGUAGAAACAACUUCGAAACCAAGAUGUUUUGUUCUGGGUAAAAAAACCCAUCAAGCAUUUGCUUUGGGCACUAGAAUUUCAAUUAUUUUAGAGGCCAUUUUGUAUAAAUAUGAGUUGGUUAAUAUGGUGUAGUGGUCUAUGAAAAAUGUGUUUAUUUGUCAUUGUGUUUGGCAUAUUUUAUUUUUAAUCAGCAUUAUAAUUAUAUUAUAGAAUUAGCUUUUCUGAAACAACUUAAAACAGAACAAAUGAAAUAAAAACUAUAAAACUCCAUUGUCCAUCUUACUGUUUACAUCUACUAUUCAAAAUGAAGAAAAUAACCUAUAUAUUCUUAGGGGAGGUAUUUGGGGAUAACACGUUUUUUAAUUUGGAUAACGACUGAUAGCAUUUGCAGAUUUUUGCAAGAAAAAAGAAGUUAAAUAUAUUUCUGAAUUGGGAAAAAGGUUUAAAACAUUCUCAAAAAAAAAAGAAAAGAAAAUAGUUAUAAAAAAACAGCAUAUAUGUAUUUCCAUUCAUAGACGAUUCUUUACCUAUCUUGCGUGGUGAAAAAAUAAUACUCAUAUUUUUGUCUAUGUUUGGUGUUGAAGAGAUUUUCCAAUAAUCUAUUAUAAAAGAUAAACUUACUUUUACGGAAGAAAAUUUAGGAAAAAAAUCUAUAUAUACAUUGUUCACUCGAGCUAAAACUAUGGAAACUAUAAUGAAGAAUUCAACAAAAUCAUGAUUCUUUCUAGUAAUGAUGAAACUUAUUACAAAUAAGAAAGAGUACAAAUAUAUGUAAUUCCAGCUUAUAAUGAACUUGCUCACUAUUUAGCAAAAAAAACUUUUUCCAACAAUGUUUUCUAUUCUAGUUUUAUUUAUCUCCCUAUCUGGUUAAGCCCUCUACUUCAUUGUAUAUUCUUCACUUUCUGAUCAAUAUAUAUGCUUCUUGUACAGUUACAUGUAAUCCCAGUUUCCCACUCCAAAACCAAACUUCUCCACAUAAGGUCAGCAAUCUGAAAUCUUAUAUAAACCAUCAUAGACAUAAACCUUAGAGCUAACACUGUUCUCGUACAUAAACCCUCUAAUCACCCGUACCUCAAUAUCAUGGUACACUAAAUUCCCACUUUCUAGAGCUUCUAAUGUUGAAUCUGCCUGUGGAGCUUAUCUUGACCACCAUGACCUGUAUAAACCAGAACAUCUCUAUGUGUCUUCAUCAUCCUCGUAAUUACCUGAGACGACAAUGCUGGUGGCUAUGGGUUCAUCUCCUGUGUAAGCCCACCGAGCACAGUUCAUGACGGGCAAAGAAUUUGUUGUUAAUCACGAUUACAGCUUGUAAACUUUUUCAGGUUCCGUUCUCGGCACAAGUAGUACAAGUUGUGAAUAUUCUUUAAUCUAGAAUGAGACUGGAACACCUUAACUCCACAGCCUCUUAAUCCUAUGUGCACAAGAUUCGAUACGCAAUUACGUUAGCCUGUCACAUGUCGACGUUAUUAACUAUCAUAUUAGAAUUUAGCCAGGUUAUUCUAAUCUGGAAAUUUUUCGUAAUAUAUGAGUGUUGAUGCGGACCAUCUGAAAAUGUCUAUUUAAUCCCAUGUGGACGUCACACNNNNNNNNNNNNNNNNNNNNNNNNNNNNNNNNNNNNNNNNNNNNNNNNNNNNNNNNNNNNNNNNNNNNNNNNNNNNNNNNNNNNNNNNNNNNNNNNNNNNAUGAACUGUGCUCUCAGUGGGCUUACACAGCCAGCUACAACGUAGCUCCAAAGGUGAACUGAUGGCCACCAGAAUUGUGGUCUCAGGUAAUUUGAGGAUGAUGAAGACGUAUGUGGCUUGUUACAUUAGUCCCAGCAAAGAACCAAAUGUGAAGGCGCAUUUGGAGCUGUGUAAGCUAAAGCAUCCAGGAGAGAACUAUCUCGGUAAUAUUAGAGUGAUGAGAGUUUAGGAUUGGAAGAAUUGUAUUGAAUGUACAUAGUAGCUACAUUUAUAUAGAGAAUGAAUUAACCUAAUAAUCUAACUAAUAAACUCAUAUAAAGAUAUUUACAAAUCUCUAGAAUAUAUUCACAAUAUCUUCUUUUAUCAUAUGGAUCUUCUAGAUCCUUCUAUACGCCCCCUCAAGCUCAAUGUGUGAUGGAGCGAAGCGGAAUCAAUGGUUUGAGAUUGACUUCAGAUUGAUCAAGUAAGAGCUGGUGUAUUCUUUGGACUUUGUGGAAGACGUUGAAUGCACGUGCUGAACAAGCGGAUGGGAGGACAACAAACCAUGACAACGAGGCGACAAAGAUGCAAGAGAGAUGCGAUAUGAUUGCGGUGAAAGCCUCAAUAGCAUGAAGAACGGUGUUGACCAUGGCGGUUUUGAGCCAGUGGGAUGUGGCAGUGGAAACUGUGCUUGGGUGGAGAUAGGCUCGUGACUUAGUUUCUUGAGGAAGAAGAAAUAGAGUUUAUUUUCUUCCUUUUUAUGUUUUUUUUUAAUUUUUUUUAUUGAAAGAACACGAUGAAAACUUUUUUUAUAUAUAUGACUGAAAUCAAAAAUCAAAAAUUGGAACGAAAACUUGUAGAACAUGUUUUUUUUAAUAGAAUAAAAAAUACAACGAGAAACCAAAAAGAAAAAAAAAUAUAUAUAAAAUAUCUAAUUUUUAUUUUCUUUUGAAUGUAUCAAACCUAAUUAGAACGUAGAAAAAUAAAACCAACGCAGCCACUUAUUAUUUAUUUUUUUGUGAAUAAGAAAAAGAGACAGAUAGAGAUGGGAAGGGGAAACAGAGAGGAAGUAGACCAGCCAUUUGUGUAAGAAGAAGCAAAUGACGGUGAAAAAGAAGAAAUGUAGAGAGAAAAAGGAGUUUGAUCGUUAGAUCUAUAACUCGGAAACACUCUGGCUUAGAUUCAGAGGUCCAUGAUAUAAUUAAAUUUUAGAAGCACUUGGCUUAAGAAAAAAAAUGAAAAAGAAGUUUGAUCACCAGAUCAAAACUUUGGAGCAAACCUGCUAUGAUACCAUAUUAGAGUGAUGAGAGUUUAUGAUUGGAAUAAUUGUAUAUUGACUCACAUUGAUUGAAUGUACAUAGUAGAUACAUUUAUAUAGAGAAUGAAUUAACCUAAUAAUCUAACUAAUAAAAUCAUAUAAAGAUAUUUACAAAUCUCUAGAAUAUAUUCACAAUAUCUUCUUUGAUCAUAUGGAUCUUCUAGAUCCUUCUAUAAUCCGAGCUAAGCUUGGACUAUGGGUCAGCAGAUGAACUGAACGGGAAGCUCUUAAUCUGUAACUGAGUAGCUUCUAUAGCUUGUUUCUGUAUUUUUCUAUGUCUUUACCGAGAUAGCUCUCCGGGAUGCUUUAGCUUGAGGCAUUUUCUCAAAUCAAUGUUCUUUCUACAUCUCUUAUCAUAGGAGUCUCAUUGUCUGUAUUCUCUCUCUCUCUGUUUUGCUCCUAUGGCAUUUCUUUCUUGCUUUAGCUUGGGGUAAUAUCUCAAAUCAAUGUUCUUGCUACUCUCCAUCUCUUAUCAUAGGAGUCUCAUUGUUUGUACCAUUUGCUAGUUCACAUGCCAAAGUCUUACCGUUUUAGAGUUUUCCUUAAAUGCAAUCAAUUUUGUAUUCUCUCUCUCUCUCUGUUUUGCUCCUAUGGCAUUAAUCUGUUGCAACAAUGAUGCAGAUGGAGAAUACUUUGACAAAUUAACAUAAACCUUUCUCUGUUAGUUCGCUGUUCUGUUUUUCCUUCUCUCUUCGAUAUCUGCAAGGCAAGAUAAAUGUUUUUUCUACAUCUCUUAUUAUAGGAGUCUCAUUGUCUGUACUUGCAUGCUCACAUGCCAAAGUCUUGCCAUAUUUGAGUAUUUCCGAAAUUUGUUUUGUUGCUAAAUUAAACCAAUCACAUGAUUCAGUGAAGAAUUAAGGUAGAUUCCAUUUUAUAAACCAGACCAAUUUAUUGUGAUAGAUAAUACAUAUUUGGAAAGUUACAAAUAAAAGAAAUGAAAAUUGCCCCAAGAAAAAAAGAAGAAGAAAUGAAAUAUCUAUCACACUACAACAAGACAUGUUUGGACCACACACAAACUCAAGUGUAAUUUAAUCGUGUGUGAUAACUAACAUCUUUUUAAUUAUUUUUGCUUUUACAUUUGAUCUAUAUUGUGUGGUAUCAACCAAAUGUUUUAUUUGUUUUACAAAAACCGAUAUGAGUCUCUUCCAAAAUUUCAUUCUACAUUUCAUAAUUCUUAUUGUAAAAGUUCACGAUAUCUAUUUUUUGUUUGUCAUUCAUUUUAAUUUCUAGGCUGAGCUCAAAUUUCUCGAAAAUUCUGUUGUAACAUUAUGGAGGCAGAAGCUAUAACUCUUUUUUGGAUCAUGACAUGUUUGGAUAAUCUUGGCUAUGAAGAGGUAAUUUUUGAGAAUGAUUCAAAGAUAUUGGUGAAAGCGGUAGCUGAACCUCGAGAAUGGCCAAGGUUCAUAGUUUAUACCAGAGAAAUUAACAUGACAAGUAAUAAAAUAAUUUGACCAACUAUCACUUUCCAAGCAAGGAAGACAAGCCAACCAAUGUGUUGAUCUUACAGCCAAUAAAACUUCUUCAUAUGAAGUUUUUUUUUUAAGUUCUUCAUAUGAAGUUCAUUAUGCAUUCUUGAUUAUAGUACUCUUUGGUUGAGAAGGAGAAACGGAUUUAUAUGAAAUAUGUUUGUGCUCGAAAAACAAAAAAAAUGUGGCAUCAUGUUAAAAUGAUGAUAAUUCUCCUAAAUGAACAACAACAAAAAAAAAUGGAUGAUAACUCCUCGAUUACUGGGUUUGAUUCUAUACUGUAUUACUUGUCGGUUAUAUAUUCUCAUUUCCAAUUAACUUUUCCAUUUUAUUAUAACAUAUUAUGACGUCAAAAAGAAAUUAUAACAUGGUGAAAUACAAACGAUAGAACUAUUUAAGUGGCAAUAAUAAGAUGAUGUAAGAAUCUGAUCUGAUACUACAGCAAAUAGAUAUUUGUGCUUGGGUAUGCCUAGAUAUUAUAAGCAAGUUGGUCAUAAAUACAAAUACGUUCUGAAAAUGUACCAAAGAGAUAUCUAGCAACCUCCUCCACCACCACCACCGCCACAACCUCCUCCUCCACCACAACCUCCUCUACCACCACAACCUCCUCUACCACCACAACCGCCUCCACCGCCAGACGCUCCAAAAAUAUAUGGUCUAUGUUUCGUCUCAUUUUUUUCAGAUUUUUUUUCACCGGUGCAAACAAAUACGGCCAUGGCUAUUACGGAGAAGGUGGCUGCAACCACCAAUAUCCCACAAACUAAACCAAAGCCACUGGUUCGAACGUCGCUCAAUAUGCUUCUCACCAUAUUCUCUUGUGUAUAUUUUGGUUAAGUUUGAGACUUUGGAUUCGGUUUUGGUAAGGAUUUAUAUAUGCUUUUGGAUGUGUGAGAAAUAAAAAGCAUUAUUUGUAGGUAAUUCUUUAAUGGACAAUGUUGGCUUACCGCGUACGUUAGGUGUGUCGGUGUGUGGUUACGUAAGAGUAAUACGUAAAAAUCUACAAGUUUCUUUGAUGUCAUGUAAGAAAAUUUUGGUUUAUAUGAGGUGGCUACUUUUCAACGUGCUUAGAUUUGGUUCAAUAUAAGCGAUGCUUAAAAGUCUUAUGAUAAGGUCCCUCUGGCUACUUUUCAACGUGCUUUAACAUUUGGUUCUAUAUGAGGGAUGCUUAAUAGUCUUAUGAUAAGGUCCCUGGACUUUCAUGGAUGGUCGUAAUCCAUACCUUGGAAUAUUUUGUUUACUAAUUCAUUAUUUGGUUUUGAAAAUUUGAAACAAAUUUAUAUUAGAUUCUGCAUUUACUUGAUAUUUUUAUGUAUAGACCUUUGUGGAACCAACCCAUUUAUUUGGGGAGGUUAAUAUAAUUGUUAGAUUAUCAGCAUGUUCUAUCUGUCAUUUAACUAGAUAUAGAUUGGUUAGUAAAGUAAAUCAGUCAUAAUCGGCUAAGACCUAAGGUCAAUUCAUUUUCUAAAAUCAAAAACAUUUAUUAUGAUAGAUAUUUGGCUAGUGGUAUAUGCUCGUACUCAUAAAAUAAUCGAAUGAUGUUUGUAUACAUGCAAGUCGUCCUCAUUUAAUUUUCUAAACCAAAACCAUAUAUGAUCAACGAGAUUUUGGUUUGUAUAUGCUGAGUCGCUAAUCGUACGUAUUCGUAGUUAAGUAAAACCAAAGACACUCACCAAAGACCAAGAGAUAUCUCACUAGCAACCUCCUCAACCACCACAUCCGCCUCCACCAAUGCAACCGCCACAGCUACCCGAAUCCUUCUUCUUUUUCUUCUUUUUGGAGCAAAGCAAAGACCACCAUGGAUACAAGUGAUAAAGACAGAAGAAUCAUGAAGAUCAAGAACAAAACAUCCCUAAAAGGCCAAAAGCAGUAGCUUCUUUCAUAUCUAUCUACCUGAUGAAGAAACCUUUUAAAUUUUUUUUUUCUUUUUACUUUCUCUAUAAACAUUUGAUCCUUCCAUGACACUAAAAGUAGUUGAAAUUUGAAUUUAUUACACCAAUAUAUUGUUGCAAUCUAGUCAAGGUAUUCAAUUCAAUUCUGCAGUUUUCAGGUUUCCUUUCUAGUGCUCUCUCUACAUUUCAAAAACAUAAUUACAGAAGAACAAAAAAUAUUCUAAUAGUAAAGAAUAAAGAAGGGAAAAGAAGCAGUGUCACGUGGAAUUAUGGAGUAUUAUUGCCACAAAAUCUCUGUUAACAUGAGCUGUACAUCACUUCAACAAGAAACCCCCACCACAAGUGACAGACAACAUUUGAGACAAUUAUCUCCAUAGCUUUCUCUUUUUAGGAACCUUUUAAUUCAGAUUUACACAAAUAAUUAAAGAGAAAACUUGGAAGAUGAGUUAAAAAAAAAAAAAAAAAAAAAAACCAAACAUUAUUGGCAGAGCCUUUUAUUGUUGAAAUUUACAAGUUUUUGGUGUGGAAAAUUUACAGUCUCUGCAUUACCUCCGGUAAGAAUUUUUUUUGUCUUGCUAUGACUCUGGUAUAGGGUUGAGUGUCUCCUGAAAGACCAAAACAUGUUCAACAAGUAAGCUAAUCAAUUUGCAAAAGAAAAAACAUUCGGCCAAGCAAUAAAUUUGUAAAUUAAGACACAUUUGUUUACCUUCGAGAAGCAUACAAACCCUUGCUGUGUGUUGGAGGUUUUAACCAUAGUUUCCCACUUGGGAUUUGCUUGAAUCUUGGUAACGUGAUUAUUAUUUUCUGUGCCAAGAGACUGUAACCAUGUGAAUGAGUUUUUCUUUGAUGGGAUUGUUGGUAAGGUACGCUUUAACCAAGAAUCUGAAGGAGCUUUUGGUAAUGGUGGUGGAGGAACAAUGUGAUAAGUUGAACGAUGAUGAAGCCUGGAACUUUCAAGAUUUGUAGUGUUUCUCUGCAAUUGGGCUUCAAGAUCAAUCUUCUCCUUUGUAAUCUCUUCUACCACAAUGGAUUUUGGCAGUGCAACAACAAUAGCGUGAUCAGGACAUUCUUCAACUUUUAGACUUGAGAAUUCAGUAGUAUCCUCAUCUCUUUUAACAUAUAUUUUCUCUUCUUCCCCAGCUCCAAUCAAGCUCUGAGCAUCUUCUUUAACAGGAACAACAUCUACUGAAGGAUAAUCUUUUAGUAAAGAUUCCUCCUUGAACUCUUCUUGCACCUUCUUGUCUACUGAAUGCACAGUGUCUACAUACAGAGUUUUCUCGGCCACAGGAGCCUCCAAUGAAGGCUUCCAUGUAGUAUCAUCACUAGCCAAAAGCUCACCAAAGUUUUUGCUGAUUUUAGUGCGUGAAGCUGCGCUCUCUUUUCUUUCUGGAGUAGAAGAUACUGGAAAUGAAGGCCCUUGUGCAACUGAUCCAUUUAGCUUCAGCUUCCUCUUAUCUUCAUUCACAGUUUCAUUGGUUUGCUAUGAAGAGAAAAAGAAGGAAAUUUAAUCAGAAAAAACAAAAAAAAAAAUACUUUCAGUGAGAUGAUGAACAAAGACGGUGAGAAGGAGAAAGUAAACAAUUCACCUUGUUCUGAAUUUCAUUACAAGGAGUAGAAUCUUGAUACUUAGAACGCAUACGGCGAACAGAAACAGCUCUUUGUGCCUGCAUUCUCACAGAUGGAACCAAAUUCAAUACUCCAAAAGAGCUUCUCAAGCAUAUCUGAGGUACUAAUCCACAAACACCAGAACCCAUGCUGCUCGUGUUUUUUCCCACUUCCUCUUGUUGGAAUCGAUAUGGAUUCUGCUCGGCUUUGUUCUGUUUCUCUUUUACCAACACU